UAUUUUCUAGUCAAACUUAUUACAAAUAAUGGUAUGAAAGUUGUAUUGAUUUUAUUUUUUUAGGGUACGGAAGUUGUAGAGGGUCUUAAACUGGAUGUCAGAGCAUCAGAAGCUAAAUCACUGAGCACAAGAUCAUUUGCAAAAAUGAAAUGCUUAAAUUUACUCCAAAUCAACGGAGCACAUCUCACCGGAUCCUUCAAACUGCUUUCUAAAGAGUUGAUGUGGAUUUGUUGGCAUGAAUGUCCUUUGAAAUAUUUUCCAUCUGAUUUUACCUUGGACAAUCUAGUUGUUCUUGAUAUGCAGUACAGUAACCUCAAAGAACUAUGGAAUGGAAAAAAGGUACGAAACAUGUUACAAUCCCCAAAAUUUUUCUAAUAUGUAGUUUAUAUUUACAUGUUAUGACUUUCUAUGAUUAAUUUUCAUUAUUUUUCUCUCUAUUAUAAUAGAUUCUCGACAAGCUUAAAAUCCUUAAUCUCAGUCAUUCUCAGCAUCUUAUUAAAACACCAAACUUGCACAGUUCAAGUCUAGAGAAACUAAUUCUGAAAGGUUGCUCGAGUUUAAUUAAGGUGCAUCAAUCAAUUGAAAAUUUGACGAGCCUCGUUUUCUUGAAUCUGGAGGGAUGUUGGAGGCUUAAGAAUCUCCCUGAAAGCAUUGGCAAUGUAAAGUCUCUUGAAACUCUGAAUAUUUCUGGAUGUUCACAACUUGAGAAAUUGCCAGAACACAUGGGUGAUAUGGAAUCCUUAACUAAGCUGCUAGCCGAUGGGAUUGAAAAUGAGCAAUUUCUCUCUUCAAUUGGACAAUUAAAGCAUGUCAGAAGGUUAUCAUUGCGUGGAUACAGUUCGACUCCACCAAGUUGUUCUUUGAUUUCAGCAGGUGUUUCGAAUUUGAAACGUUGGCUGCCAACACCUUUCAUUGAAUGGAUAUCAGUGAAACGUCUUGAGCUUUCUAAUAGUGGUUUGUCUGAUCACGCAACUAACUGUGUUGAUUUCAGUGGUUUGUCUGCUCUAGAGUAUUUGAAUCUAGAUGGAAACAAAUUCUCUAGCCUUCCUUCUGGGCUCGGCUUCCUUCCCAAGCUAAGUUUGUUGUAUGUCCGGGCAUGCAAAUAUCUUGUAUCAAUCCCAGAUCUUCCCUCAAGUUUAGACUAUUUGUUUGCAUCUGAUUGCAAAUCAUUGAAAAGAUUAAGAAUACCAAGCGAGCCAAAAAAAGUAUCAGUUAUAAAGCUAGAUGGAAGUCAUUCGUUAGAAGAGUUUCAGGGCAUUGAAGAUCUAAGUAAUUGGUUCUGGUAUAUUUGUGUUGAUGACCGCAGUCAUUCAUCAAGUAAAUUACUGAAGAGCGUUGUUGAGGUACUAUUUCUUUCCGUCUCUUUUUCGCACAAAAAGAAACACACACAAUUGGCACAUACAUUGAAUAAUGUCUAAAUUCUCAGCAAUCCUUAGAAAUCAAUAUGUAUAUGGGCAAUUAUUAUUAUUAUUAUUAUUAUUAUAUUUAAAAAAACAAAUAUCAUCUUUAAUAAUAUUUUUUAUUUUUCUUAUUUAAUCUAAAAAAUUAAAUAUUAUGUUUAAUAAUAUUUUUUUUAUUAAAUAUUUAAAGUCUGAUUGGUUUUAUUUUUUAUUUCUUGAUUUUAUGAUAAUAUAUUUAUACAGACAAUGUGCAACGGUCGUCACGGGUAUUUUAUUCGUAUUCAGUACAUUCCUAGUGAGAUGCCAAAAUGGAUGAGCUACAGGGGAGAAGGAUGCUCAUUGUCAUUCCAUAUACCUCCAGUCUUCCAAGGCUUAGUUCUUUGGUUUGAUAAGGAUGAUAAGGACACUUCCGUUAAAAUUAUUAUAAGAAAUAAUAGCAAUGGUAUUUGCUUGUUUAAAUGUACGCAAUGGGCUUAUCAUCCAAAAAAUGGAUGUAUAAGAUACAUAAGUAGAAGUAAAAUGGCAAUGGAAGAUUACUGUGCAGAUGACGAAUUGGAACUAUCCAUUUAUUCACGGCAACGGGGGUAUUCACUGCGCAACGAUGAUUCAUACCAACCCGCAGACAUUAAAGAAUGUGCGGUCCAUGUGAUCGCAGGGAAGUCAGAUUCAUUUGAAGAGUUGGCAGUGAGAACAGAUACUGUGAUGCCUUCACCACCGCUGUAUCAUCUGCUUCCUCAUCCCCCAUUGUGGUUCGAUUACAGCGUCUACACCUAAGCAAUGGACUGACUUUUUAUUUGCGAAGCUGCAAAACCAUAGCCUCAGUUCAACUUUGGUAAGAACAUAUUUCAUUUAGUUAUUUUUAUUCUAUUAUUUAAUUUAUGAAUUAAAUAUUAUCUUUAAUUAUUUUAUUUUUUUAUUUAAUCUAAAAAAUUAAAUAUCAUCUUUAAUAAAAACAAUUAUUAAAUAUUUAAGGCUUUUUGGUAAGAAUACAUAUUUCCUUUAGUUAUUUCUAUUUUAUUCUAUUUAAUUUAAGAGAUUAAAUAUCAUCUUUAAUUAUUUUAUUUUUCUUAUUUAAUCUAAAAAUUAAAUAUUAUCUUUAACAAUAUUUUUUAUUAAAUAUUUAGAGUUUGCUUGGUUUUAUUUCUUUUCUUGAUUUUAUGAUAAUAUUUUUCUUAUUUAAUAUAAAAAAUAAAUAUUAUCUUUAAUAAUUAGAUCUAUCGAAUAUCACUUAAAAAUAAAUUAUAACUUUAAUAAUUAUUUUUUGAAAAACAAAAAGCCAACAAUCACUAACAUAUUUUAUUAAAAUCACUUUAGUUUAUUUAGAAAAUAUUGAAAACUGAUUUUUGUUUUUUACAUUAAAAUAAAAAAUUGAAUAAUGUUUUUAUAUUUUAUUUCAAACUCGAUAUUUUAAAACAAAAAUGAAAAAGAUGUGAUAUUGACCUUUUUAAUUUAACUUUCUUUUCAAAUUUGAUGGUUUUUUAGGAGAGGGGUAUCUUUGACGUUGAUUGACGUGAGAGUACAAGAUCAUUUUACAUAGAGAUGCUUGAAAUUGCUCCAAAUCAGUACGAUACUUUCAUCUGACAUGUUGAUAUGUAUUUAUUGGCUUGAAGAUUAUUUUCCAAGCUUGGAAGUUUUAUUGAAUUCUCUUUGAAAUCUUUUCCAUCCGCUGGACAACCUAGCUGUUAAUUAUUAUGCAUGAUGUAAUUUAUAUUUUCAAGUUACAAAUUUUGAUGAAUAUUGUUUCAUUUUUUUCCUCACUUCAAAAGAUGAAAAUCCUUGAUGUUAGUUAGAAAUAAAUUGGUUUUCUAGUAAGAGAUUAUUUAUUGGAAUAUAGUAUUUGAGUUGGUUAUAUAUAAUUUAAAAUAAUUAAUGAAAAUUACCGAUAUAUAGGAAAGUUUUGAGAGCAUCCUUAAUUAGUCUAGUAAGUAAAGUGUUGUUAGUUUUGACUAUAAGAUCUUGCUAUGUAUUAUUGCAUGGUUUUUACUAUUUUUAGGCAUUUUUCUUUUGGUAUAUACAACUUUUGUUUUUCUUGCCGUUUGUUAUUAGCUUUAUGGCACCAACACCAAUUAAUAAUAAAUCUUGAACUAUUAUUAAAUAAAGAAAAAAUAUAAACAUUGUUAAAACACCAAACUUGAAUUGCUCAAACCUAAAGAAACCCUAUGACAAUAAUCUAAUUUAGAAAAUAAUUAAUUUAUCCUUGUAGUCUAAGAAAAUAGUAUUUAAUUCUUAUGUUUUCAUAUACAUCUAUGAUUUAAUAUGUUGAUUGAAAUUGGCAAGUGAGUUUACUCGCAUAUUGUUAUAUUGGUUUUGAGUUCAAAUAAAUGUUUAAAAAGGAAGUUUUUUCAUGAAUGUAACCCUUCAUGUAUUCAAUAUGAAUGAUGGGAGAUUUUGAUGUCUUGUGAAUGCAUUUAUUUAUAUAUCGAUGAUUUUGUUAAGAAUUGGUUGGUAAAAAACUUAAUUUCGAUAUAUAAAAACCGAAGAGAGAACAAUAAAUAGAGAGACUAGUAAAGAUUUUAUGUGCUUUUUUUUUUUUUAAUUGGAUUACCUUUGUCUUUUGUUUCAAGUAAAAUUCUAGUAUAUAUCACUAAAUUAAGAAUUAAAGGUCUAAUUAUAUGAACACAAUUUUAAAGACUACAUCAACUACAUUUCAUAUGCUCAACUCUAAGCAAAUUGAAAUUUCAAGGCCAUUUGUAUCUUGAAAACACAAUCUCAAUAAUUUUAAUAUUGAAUUAUUAUUUGUUAGGUAACUAAGAUUUGUUGACUUGAAAAAUAGCACUAAGGAACACAAAUUCGUACUGUUUAUCUUCUUGGCAUUGUUCAAAGGAAUGCAAAAAGACACUCCAAUUGUGAAAAUGUAUUAUUGUCAUAAAGUAAAACUUCCAAAGAGUGAAAUAAAGAGCAAGAGCAAAAAAAUAAUUUGUGUGUGUAUAAGCUAAUUGAAAUGAAGAUUAGAAUAAAAAGGAUAAAAAAGUGAGAGACUCGUUAAGAUUUUAUGUUAAUGCUCAACAUGUUCUUUCUUAUUUAUUUUUAAUUGGAUUACCUUUAUCUUAACGAGUGAAAUAAAGAAACACUCCCCCAUCUUUUUUAUUCCCUUUCCCUUCUUUACAUGGCUUACUCAAUGAAAAAGCAAUUAAACACCCCAUUUGAUUUUCAAUCAAUAUGAGAGUGAGAAAGAGAGAGGCCAAGGUGGUCUUUGAAUAUUUUCUUCUUUUUUGUCUCGCUCACUGGGGCAAACCAUUUUUUUCAAAAUUUUGAAUAGCAUGCCAUCAAAAAGAAUUUUGUUCAAUCCCAAUCCCACAUACACUUUGUUAUUUUCCAAUCCCUCCCUAGUUCUGCAACCAUUUCUCUACUUUCUAUGCUCUUGGCUUGCUAAAAACUAAAGAAAACACAUUGCUCUAGUUGCCUGCCUUCACUCUUCAGAUUGCUCAACAAAACCCUUGAGACCUUCUCCAUAGUUAACAUACCACAUAAUGGCUACUCUAAAAAAUUUAGCCAUAAACAAUGAACACCUUAGGCAAUCAACGUCCCUUCCUUCAUAAUAUGCAUCGCCCAUAAAUCUUUCUUUUGGGAUGUCGUCGGGAGUUUAAUCUCCGAGUGUAAAAAUUAUGUAUAAAUUUCCAUUCUUUCCUUCCAUCCAUUACUUGUCCUCUAUGAAGAUUUUAUGUAUGAAACCUCGGAAUCUUUUCAAGUAUAACUUGGGAUCAACAGCUGAGAUAGACGUGGGAUCCACUUGUAUGCAUGCUCUAGCUUUUUGCUGAUAUCAUAAUCCUGGAGGAUGUCAAUGAUACCAAAGUGAAGAACUACAUUGAAGAUCUCUUUACCAUUGUGUGAAGGUGUUGAAUUGUUACUUCCACCCCCCAUCCACUGAUCCAUUUCAGUAGUCCUCAUUACAUGCUCGGCUCUUGCAGGCACAUUUGCCCCCAGUCAGAUGAAUGGCCCCCUGGAACAGAUUUCAUAUGAGUACUACAAGCAUGCAACGCCAGUUAAAAUCUUGACAUUGCAUCACACAAUCACCAAAAUUCAAAGUAACAAAACGAAGAACAAAAUGUGAUAACAAUGACAAUGACACUUUUCAUCAUUAAUUUUCCUUUUCACAUUGAUUUUCAAUGUUCCGGGCAGAUAAAAUAGCAUUGAUUUACAACCAUGGUUUUAAGGCAUCAUUAUUGGCAAAAACAUUGUAGGACAAAGCAGACUUAAAGAUCAAUGCUUCAGUUGUCAAUCACAUUAAUAAUUUAUAUUUGAUCGUCUAAAAGGGCCUAGAAUAGGACCAGGUAAAAGUUUGUUUUUAUCUAAGAAAGCAAGAAGGUCUCCACAAACUACCCCCAAUUUCGCCACUACAGCCUAAGUCACUUUGAGUCAUUCCAACAAAUAGGAAUUGAAUUCAAAGGAAUAAAUCAUUAAUUAAAUGCAGGGCUCCAAUGUGGGAAAGGGAAAAUGAUUCACUAUUAAAAAGAAAAGCUCAAACACAAAUUAUAGCUUCACUUUUUGUGAAUUAUAUCUCAAAUUUCAUUGGCUGGAUGAUUUAUUGAUAUUUUAAGAAAGCAGUCUUCAUUGCUUUUCAAAACCAUACUAUGGGUCCAUAGACAACUAAAGUUAAACAUGUGGCACAUACCUAGUAGAAAAGAAGAUGCCACAACAUUGCACUUCAUUGCUUUUCAAAACCAAACUAAAGUGCAAUGUUGUGGAAUCUACCUAAUGAGUUCAUUAAACCAUGACCGUUCCAGGCAAAAUACAAAGUUUAGAUCGAGGUCCUUAAGUGUGGUUGUUUCAUCAAUUUCACCAUCAAGCUUGUAAGUCGUGCGUCCAUGAAAAGAGCCUUUCAAGUCAAAGCGUUUAUGGAUACGGUACUCGGAACAAAACAGGUUUCUCAUUACAACAAAAUGAGUCUAGAAUUACAUUGCAUUGUGAACAGUAAUUAGAAUAUGAUUAUACAUUAUGUAGAAAGAACAUCUCAAUGAAAACUGUACCGUCGUGAUUAUACCUUUCGACCUCCCACUGGUUUAACACAAUGUACACCAAAGAAAUUUGUUACCAAGGAGUUCUUGUACUGGCAAACAUGUUGGUAGUAACUUGGAAGCAUCUUAAUAAGAACCUGAAUAUGGUUCACAAUAGGUUGUGAAAUCUAUCCACAUGAUAAAAAUUAAAAAUAAGUGUCUAAGACUUAAAUUGGUAUAUAGAACCAAAUUACUUGCCCUACGUAUUGCUACUUGAGUAAUAAUCACUUUCAUACAUUUGCUGCUUUGUAACAUGUUGAAUUGCGAAUUUAGGGUAGCUAAAUUACUAACCUUGACUUCAGAUUUUUUCACAGUUUUGAUUAUGAAACGAUCAUCUUGAGUUAGAUAAAAGAAGCUUCCACUCUUCCCAGGGGAAGAAAAUUCUCUAAGUGCAUCACUUCCACAAAUCGUUGCAUGUAAUUCACUGGAUCUAUUGAAAACAAUUCCCUCAGAUAUCUAAACACCAAACAAACCAACCACCACCAUAACAUAGGAAAUCAGAGACAAAUUCAAUAUCUCCUUUCUUGGACAUUCAAUAGAAGAUUAAAAAUGAAGUAAUAAAGCAUUAUAUGUUCCAAAAAUCCGUAAAAAAAUAAUAAAAAUUCCUAAAAAUAAUACCUGAAUACCAUGGGACAAUAAUCCUUCCAUCUGAAAUCCAUAGAUUGAUGUGGAAGCCUAGACUUUGAUACUUCCGGUGGAAACCUUGUCCAGAACUUUUCUUUAGGAUAAAACAUAGAAGCCUCCACAUUAUCAACAAUAUCACAAGUAAUAUCACUAGCCUCCCCAUCCAACUCCUAAAUACAAAUCCGAGGAAAAUUCCCAUCCACUGAUGACCUCUUCCUCCCUCCCCCAGCCCCAACUACUGGAUCCAAUGCCACCCCUUUAAAAUCCUCUCCACCACCACCAAGAACUCUCCCAUUCACAUUCCCACUACCAAAUGUAAAAAUUCCUUUCCCUUUAGGCACCCCAUUUUCCAAGUACCCUUCAUACCUCUUCCCAUUAACCCAAACCAAUACCCGUUUCCCAGAUAUCACCCCAUGUUUCCACUCACCAACAUACUCAUUCCCAUUACACCACCUAUACUUCCCUUCCCCAUCCUGCAAAUUAAACUUCCAAAAACCUUGAUAAACAUCCCCAUUGGCGUACCUUGUCUCACCAAAGCCAUGCUUUUUAUCACUAAUCCAAUUUCCAAUAUAAACUUCACCAUCUACACCAAUAAAAGUACCAUAACCAUCCAUUCUCCCUAACUUAAACUGACCUUCAUAAGUAGCUCCUGAUGGCCAAGAAAACUUCCCACCUCCAUUAGCCUUCCCUCUCCUCCACUCUCCUUCAUACAUACACCCAUCACACCACAAAUACUUCCCCUUCCCAUGUGGCACACCAUCCACCACUCCCCCAGCAUAAAUAUCCCCAUUGGGCAACACCUUCUCCACCAAGGAACAACCAGUGUCAAUACGAGAAGUGAUGGUGGUGGUCAUCGCGUCACGCGUGGGAGUCACGCGCCGGUAGUUGGGCUGGGAUCGGGUUCUUGUGGUCACUAUAUGGAACAAUGAGGGGACUAGCAAAGACACAUCUUUGCUGUUUUUGGCUUUGAUUUUGGUGUUUUCUGAUAGUGUGGCCAGAAGGGUCUCUUGAAUUUUGCUUUUUAUGCCGGUAAAUGCACCGGCGGAAACAUUUUCGGUGAUUGUGCUAUAUUCUUAAACGGUUUUCUUGCUCUUUUGUGAGUCAAAAAAUAAAAACAAAAAAUGUAGCUUUCUUGUUGCUUUGAAGAAUGGGCGAGAGAAAUGGCAGAAAAAACAGUGGAAGGGAAGAGAAAAAGCAGAAGACCAAAGACAGAGAGAGAGGGAAUGGGCCGUCUUUUGUUGUUGUUUUUGGUGUCUGUCUAGUCUAGGGAAGCUUGUCGGCAGGCUUUGUUCCAGAGAGGGAUCAUUUUUUGUGUUUUAAGAAAUAUAGGGAGUAAAAUGGGAUUAGGCUUUGGGUAUUUUUAGUAAAACCUACACUGUUAAGGUCGGGUAAUAAAACAAUAUUAUUUUACUAAAAAAAAAUCAAUAAAUUGAGAAUUGGUUAAAUAACCAGCCAUUUCCGAUUUUAUAACGGUGAUUUCAGGUGAGUGAGGUAUUGUUGAGGAAUUUAGGGUUUAGUUGGGGGUAUUUUAGGGAUAUUUGGGAGAAAGGGAAGAUAUAAUUAAGGUAGGAAGAACAUUUCUUGAUUUAUGUAAAUUGAUUAAUUUAAAGAAGGUUUGAUUGAUAAUGCAACCCACAAACAUUUAAACAUUUGUAGAGUGUAAUUGACUAAAAAAAAUGAAUAAAAGACAUUAUGAACAAAUCAUUCUUUAUUAUUUAAUUGAUUUGUCAAAGUUUCUAAUUUUGUUUUAAAACUUGUUUCAAUUGGCUUUUUUUUUUUUUGCUUUUUUUUAUAUUUUAGAUAUUUUUAUAAAAAAAAUAAAGUAAUUAUUAUUGUAUAUAUUUAAAUUAAACUAGAUAUGAUAAUUAACAAUCAAAUUAAAGUUUAUAUGAUUUUAGUGAUUGUAUAUUUUUUUUUAAAAAAUAGAUUAAAAAAUGAAAAAAAAACAUAUAAAAAUAAAAAUACAAAUCGUAUCAAUUUAAUAUGGGAUAUUAAUAGGUAUAUGUGAGUAGUUUAGUUUAAUAGAUGGAGUACACAAUGGUAGGUGUUCCAGGUUUUUUUUUUUUUUUUUUGUAUAUUCUCUCUUUUUUUCACUUUUUGUGAUACUAAAUCAAAUAUAUUAUUACUAGAUAUAAAAUAAUUUAUUCAUUGCUUAAUUAAAAUAUUAUAAAAAAAAUUAUCUUUUACCAAUUUAAGAUUUUUAUUAUUUAAAAUUUGAGAUGAUAAUGUAGAAUAAUUUUGCUUGGACCGACAACAUCUCCAGCAUAUACACAAUACUAUUUUAAUUUUUUUAGUAAGGCAGUGCAUCUUAGUUGUACAAGACAAUGCAUGGUUUAUCCAAGCAAAAUAAUUUGCUUAGACUUUUCUUAAAUUCUUCAAACCCUAAACAUGAUUUUCAUCUCAAAUUAUUCUUUAAUGAAGUUGAUUAGAAUUUGAUCAAUUUCACCAAGGAAGAGAAAAAAAAAACUAUUAUUAUGCUCCCAAUCUCUCCCUCAACUGUAAUUAUAAAACUUGAUUUGAUAAUCAAUUUAAAAUAAAAUUCAAUAUUAAAAAAAUUAAUCUAAAUUAAUCAGAAUUGAUUUUAUUUUUUAAAAAAUACAAAAAAUAGUCAAUAAAUUAAGAAUUAAGUUUUAUUCUUUAUAACUUGGGUUUUUGACCAAAUUAAGGUAUGUUAUUUUUUUUAUAUUUUUAAUUUAUCCUCUAAAGGUUUGAACAUUGCUCUGUUUUUUUUUUUUUUCCAUUUUAUUUCUCAAAGCUAUAGUGGUAUAUAAAUUUCUUUAGCUGGUGUUAAAUCUUCUAUCCAGACUUUAAACAAUGACAUGUGGGAAGAAAACAAGUGAAGUGUCAGUCACUAAUUACCAUAUAUACAGAAACUGUCACAAUUAAUAAGGUAUACAGAACCAUUAUAAAAGCUAAUUUUUAAUGGCAGUUUCCUCGGUGGAUGUCCAUACAAGAAAGGGCAUCAAUUAGAAUAGGUGUCUUAGUUAUAGGUAUAUGCCCUAACUAUUCUUCAAGUAUAAAUUUACACCAUUGUCAUUGUAAAUAUUUUAUUUAAAAAUGUUUAUGGAUGGCAAUAGAUAAUAACUUGGCACAAGAACUAUAUCACAACUUAAAAAUAAGUUUAUCCAAGUCAAUUUUAAAUAUUAUGAAUAACAAAGUUAUUAAAUCUAUUUCAAUUCAUGAUUUAGCCCAAAACCCAAUACAAUUUUAAUUUUAGGAAAAAAAAAAAAGUUUAAGAGAAGAAAUUUAUUGAUUAAAUAAGGAUAGUAAUUUCACCAAAUCCAAUUGAUACCAACUAGAAUGGAUAUUGAUUUUUUAGACCUGAUAAGAUUUAAGUCAAAAUAUAAAAAGUCAAGUGUUGGGUUGGGUAGGAUAUUGAUUUACUCAACGGAACCGAAACAAAUAAAUAACCUUAAAUUUUAAAAAAAUUACAUGUAUACCAAGCCAAUUAUAAAUUAAAUAAUUGUAAAUUAUAGCAUUCGAGCUUUAAGUCUAGAUUAUAAAUACUUGAUAGGUACUCGAAAUCUAAUCAAGUUAGUUUUUGGUAUAAAAAAUUUAUACAAAGUCAAACUUGACCAAUGAGUAUCCAUAGCCAUCCCUGUAAACAAAUGCAUGUGUUUCCAUGAGAAUGAGUUGUCGAAGAAGUUCAAAGGGCAAGGAGGGAGAGUGCUUUAAAAAAAAUAGAGUAGAGAAUAAAACAGGGGAGCAAUGCUUGAGAACAUGCAUUGCUGAACUUCUUGCUUGAUUUCGCCAUGUUAUGGAAGCAUAAAACCUUCACAAUACUGCUUCACACCUCCUUUUCUAUGCUAUCAUGCCAUGAACAUAUGAUGACAAGAGGCCUUGCAAGGACACAUCAAGGUGAUGUUUAAUAUAUAUAUAUAUAUAUUUACUUUUAGAAUGUUUUAAUGUUAAAAAUAAAUUUUAAAAAAUAAAAAAUUUCAUUUCAAUUUAUUUCUAAAUAAAAAAUAUUUUAAAAAAUAACAUUUACAAAAAAUUAUCUUAGUGCAUUAGAAGAAGCAAAAUCCAACUCUAAUAUGAUCUAUAAAGUGACCAACCAAACUUAGCACCUGGAAACUAAGCGCGCAUUUGACUAAAAAAAGAACUUUUAUUUCUUUAAGUUCUUAAGAGUUCUUUUUUUUCUUUCUAAUCAUUUUAUAAAACAUUUUAUAAAAUUCCUAAAACCAAGUUUUUGAGAUUUGAAAUUAACAUGAAAUCAUUUUAACAACAUAUAUUAUCAAAUACCUUUACGAUCAUAGCUACAACCACAACUAAAAGCCUAGGCCCUAAGCCUUUUUUUCUUCUUCAGGUUCGCAUUCAAACGAAUAAAUUCAUCGAAAAUUUCCGUCUGUCUCAACAUUCAAAUCCAAAAUGAUAACAUAAAAAUUAAACUCUCAUCCUAGAUGAGCUAAAUAUUUCGAUCCAGACUCAGACAAGAACUAGAUGUAUUUCUAGGGUACGCAGAACCAUCAUUACUUGUUGUUGUAUACUGUAAAUGUCAGUUGAUUCUUGCAGUACUUCUGGAAACAAUUUUUUUUUUCUUUUUUCCUUUGAAACAAAUUUAUUUUUCUCUUUGAAUAUAUUCAGGAAAGAGGAAAUAAAGAAUGGUGUAAAUCAAAAGAAAAGAAAGGUGCAGAUUAUGCUGCUAGUCAAAAUUUUGAUCAGUGGAUACUUGGCCAAAGAUAUCAGGACAUGAUUCCCAGUUGCCCCUUUCCUUGGCUUCCCAGUAACCACCAAUAUAGCUAUAAGUUUCACCGCCUUUCUCCUUCACAAACCACCGAGGCUUCCAACCUCUCUCUUCCAUCUUCCGUGCCUGUGAUUGUUGAAAAGAAUUCUUAUUAUCCUCUAAUUUACUACAUUUCAUAAACAGUAGUCAGUAGAAGUGUCGUGCAAGUGUGUGUACAAAUGCAUUGGUGUAAAUACAGCAAGAUCAUUCCUUGAUGCAUGCACGUACCUGUCGUUGCCUCUGCUCUAGUCGUAACUUCUCUUCAUUGGCCUUUGUAUACUCUCCAUUUUCCAAGCAUCUCUGAUCAGGUCUCAGCCUGGAGUCUGUUGAUGGCAGUUUCUCCUGCGUAUAAAUUUAAUGUCAGCAGCUACGAAUGGAUACCUUGUUCUCUACUGCAGAGGAGCAGUGAGACAUGGCAUUUCUUGUAAAGAAAGAUAUUUAUCAUAUUCAAAUCUUUCACCAACCUUAAGCUCCUGAUGCGGAACAAUAAAGAAUAAGAAUUAAAACAGGAAAAGAAAUAAGCUUUAGGGGAAAGAAAGAAGCUAGAGAAGAGGAAGAAAGGGGAUUGGAGAUAUGCAAAUUCUGCAAUUUUCAUUAAUCAUCAAAAGUACCUCUCAAAAUGACAAAAGAACAUAUAAAUAGUAAACCCUAAAAGUAAACCCUAAACAUCCUGCUAUUUGGGCUCGGCCCAUCAAAUCGAACUGUUUAAUAUAAAUAACAAUGAGUAGGCCCAGAUGGGCUAAAUAAAUAAAUAACAAUAAGCAGGCCCAAAUGGGCUAAAUAAAAUAACAAUGAAAUAGGCCCACAUGGGCUUAGUCUCCCAACCAAAGUGUGACAGGCUGGGCCAUCCUACGCCGUCUCCGUCCAUAUACUUGUGUAAUCUGUGGUGUGGGCCUGGUGUCUCCACCAGCUCCGGUGUGAGCUCAUUCAGAGUUAUAGCAAAGCGUGUUAGAUUGUAUCUGGUCAGAUGCUUUGAUGGUUUACUCCGCUUCCAGAGCAAAUGGGGCUCUGAUCCGUUUGCAUUCCUUGAACCACCAUUAAUUUUAUAGUGCAUGCUAUCAUCCCAUUUUCCAAAUAAACUUGCCACUGUUUUACCAUUCUUAUCUUGAACACCACCUAGUACCUAGAGAACAAAUAGUAUUGCUGCAAUUAAUGGUAAUGCCUAAUCAUGAUUCAUUCACAAAAUGAGAUAAUGCAAUGAGAACCUGAUAUGAGGGAAAACAUCAACAGACAAAUAUUGAUAGUCUUAUGGGUGACAAGCUAAUGGUCAAAUGAUUUUUCACCAAGCAAGCUUGAUAUCAUUACAAAAAAUGUGUUGGAAAUUGUUGCAUGAAAGGGCAGAACCUCUAAAGUAAUGUGCACGGGUAUACAAAUUUGACUAUACAACCGACAGAAAAGAAUAAGCCAGGAAUCAAACUAUCAUUAGAACAAAAAACCUGAGCUUAGGCUUAGCCUGUAGGAUACAAGUUUAACAAACUUAAAAAGCAAAAGAGACCUUGGAGACAAAACAUAAGCGAAAUAUUAUACAGCAUGAUGUGGACCUGGAAAAAGAAAUUUUUAGAAAAAGAGAUAUUUUCUAAUAAAUCUUCGAGGAUAGAAACUCCCAAUAUAUUCCAGGAACACUAGCGUCACUAUUCUUUCAAGCAGUCAAGUGCUUCAGUAGUACAAUGACUACACAUUAGUUGCUUUAUUAAAAUGAAAUUCAAGAUGGAUCAUUUACUUUGAUGAAAAAUAUGGAAAUGGGGAUAUUGGAACCUGGUGGGGAUUCCUGUCAAUGAGUGACUGCUCUUUGAAUUUUAGCUUGCAGGAGUAUUUCUGAUUCCCCUGUAUCUUCAUUGUACCAUAAUGAUCACAGUAUAGUUUCCCUAAAAUGAGGUUGUAAAUGGAUGUUGUCACCUGAUAAGAGAAAGACAGCUUAGCAGGAAUCUUAUAGAGAAUGGUAAGAGCUGUAAAAUGCCAAAAACAAACCUUACUCCACUGGAAAAUUUCUCCAUCAUCAAACUCUAGUGUUAAGGUGCCAACAGGAUCAAGUUGAAUUGAACGACCCCAAAAUUUACUUUUUAAAUCACUUUCACCCCAAAAUUUCCAGCCUCGACCCUCACAAUGGCAGGCAACAACCAUUGGGUGAUGACUAACCUGUUUCAAGAUGAGCCACAUUGAUAUGUUAAAAAUCAGUAGUGGCAUUUGCUACUUACUGACAAUGUGUAAAUGUGUGCAAAUACGCUUUCAAUUACAUAAUAUUUUUCUUUUCAGAAGCAACCAUAAAAAGGCAUGUCAUAUUAGACGUGUAUAAAUAAAGAACGAUUGCUUAUGGUGCUUCUAGCAGUGAUAGAGACACCUUCUCAGAGAUAAAGCGAAUGCCUUUAUCAGGAUAAUCGGCCUCAUAUGUUUCCCCUAGUAGUGGAUUGAAUGGCUUGCAAUGUCUUCCAUCAGUAGAGGCAUAUCCUGAUACUGCAAACGCUGCCACAUUGAGUGCUCUCAUAAGGCUAUUACCCUACAAAAAAUAAGCCAAGAUCGUGAGCACAUUUAUUAAGAGAACAGUGUAGGGUGAGAGGGUGAUUUGUCCAAAAUUCUUCCAAGAAAACUAAAAUACUGCACACUUGGCACUGAGAGCACUAGGAUUUAGGACACACUUCCACAUACAAGCACAGAGACCAUGCAGCAGCAACAGUCUGAUUAAUAGUAGUUCACAACAGAGCAUUUAAAGUAUAACUUCCAUGUCCAUAGCUUCUUAAGAAAUCUUGUGAUGGCUGUAAUAAAACAAUAAUAGGCGCAAGCAACAAGUCUCUUUGGUAGACACACUAGUUUCAAGUAGGAAAAAUCAUAACUUUGCUUUUGCAAGACAAGUAAAACUAGCAUGGUUUCAAAAAUAGUAAACGCUAGUGGCAGGCAUACCCCAAAAAGUUUGUAACCAGCAACGGUACAUUGACUAAAUGACAAGUAUGUGGUUUUUUUUUAAAUCAACUGUCAGAAAAGGAUAAGAAACAACAAGAAAGGAUGAACCUACCAUUUUACCAAAUUCAUAGGCUCGAUCUAUGUUGUAACCUAUUUUUGGGUCCCCAUAAAAAAUAAAAUAAAUAGCCAAAAAAGGUUAGAAAAAUAACAGGAGGCAUGAAGCGCCCAGAAAAUGGUUAGAAAAAUUAGUCAAGGAGGUUAAAAAUACAGAGAUGAAUUUUUGACAAUAUAUUCUUGAAUGAUGAGAGCCCUGGUAAGAAAAUUUGAUUUUUUGAGGAGAAAAGUCCAAAUUUGGAGAUUUAUGGACUUAAUUGGAUUUUUAAUUGAAUUUAUAAAGGGUUUGAUUGCAAGAAAAAUUGAUUUUUAAGUCAAUUUGGGCUUUAAUUGGAAGAAAUUUAAGUUUUGGGGCCAAAAUAUAUUUUUUAGGAAUUUAUUAGGUCAAAUCAGGGGCUUAAUUGCAUAAAUAUUGAAGUUUAAUGGCCAAUUAGGGGCUUAAAUGUGAAAAUCCGAAACCAGGGACCAAUUUGGAAAAGGCGCGAAGAUAGAGGGGGCUGUAUUGAAUUGAUUCAGGGGCCUAAUUGAAGAAAUUGGAAGUUUAUUGAUCAAUUGAGGGUCAAAUUGCAUAAAUCAGAGGACAAGGAUCAAAGUGGAAAAGGCGGCCAAAUAUGAGGGCGGCAAUUGAAUUUUCGAAGGAUGCAAUUGAAAUGAACAAAAGAAAAUUGAGGGUUGAUUUGAAAAUGGAAACGUUCUGGCGCCACAUUUAAAUGAAACGACGCGUUUUGUCCAAAACGACGCCGUUUCAUGUAAAAAAAAAAAGAAAAAAAAAAAAGAAAAGGAGAAGAGAACUAACCGAAGGGAGGAGAGAACUGACCGAAGGGGGGAAGGGAGAAGAAAAAACCCGAGACUAAGAGAGAGAGAGACUGAAGGAGAGAGAAACAGUUGAACUAAAGUAAUAAACACAUAAAACUCAAGGAAACGAAACUGGGAGAAGGGGGAAGAGGACAGGAGCCGGGGAAGAGCUUAGAGAAAACGAAGACCGAGCAGCACCGCCAGGUUACCGAACCGUUGGGAACCGCCGCUUUGAGCCACCAACCUCCGCUGCAGCACCAUCAACACGGACGUUCGACCAACAGCAUCGCCUCCGCCGUGCCAGGUAUUCUUCUCCCCCUGCAUUUUUCAUUUUGCCCUUACUUUAGUUCUUUCCUCAUGCAUGCAGAAUCGUUCUGCAUGCAGGAGUUAGGGGAAGGGAAAAUAAUUCCCUUCCCCGUUGGGUUCUUAUACUGGGCCGGGUUUCCGGCCCAGUUUUGUUAUUAGUUUUUUUGGGCCAGACCGAGUCUGGCCCAAAGAGAAGUUUUUGUUGGGCCGAGAUCGGCCCAGCCACCUUGCGGGCCGAGAUCGGCCCAAUCCUGUUUUGGGCUGAUGUUUGGCCCAUUUCCAACUGGGUUGGGUUCGGCCCAUUUAGUUGGGCCGGCCCAGCCCGUUUUUUAUUUUUAUUAUAUAUAUUAUGAAUUAUAGUAGAUUAUAAUAUAUAUGUGUGUAUAUUGUGUAUAUAUAUUUUUACUUUAAAAAAAAAUAUAUUUCGAAAAAAUCUAAAAAAAAAAUAUUGUUGAUUUCCUUGAAUAUUUUUGUCAAAAUGGGUUAAUGUUGGUUGGUAUUUUUAUACUGUAAAGAUACAAAAUCAAUGUUAAAAAUACUUGGUUUUCGUAAAAACAUCAAAGAUUUUCAGAAUAAGAAAUGUUUUUGCUUUCAAAAAAUUUUCUAAAAAAUCCCUAAAAAUAUUGUUGAUUUUUCUGCAUUUUUUUUUAUUAAAGUGGAUUAAUAUUGGGUUGUAUUUUUAUACCGUAAGGAUACAAGCUCAGUAUUUAAAUACCCGAUUUUCGUCAAAACCUAAAAAACAAAAAAAAUAAUAAUAAUAUUUUCAAAAAUUGUUUUGUUUUAAAAUACGGCCUGGUCUCUCCAAUAUAUAUAGAUAUAAACAUUAUAACAUCAUAUUUUUUUUACACAACAAAGAAAAUUUUCAAAACAAUAUAUGAAUUAGCAUGCAUUUUGGCUUUAAUGACCAGUUUAUUUAAGCCAUGAGAACUAGGCCAAUAUUUCAAAAAAAUUCUAAAAAUCUUUUUGUUUUCUCUUAGUAUUUGGGAUUACGAAUUUAUACGUAAAACGUAUUCCUAAAUAUUAUUUUUUUGUAUAGACGUUAGAACGGUUAGGAUUUUACUCGAUAAGAUAAAAGACCUUCUUACUGAGGAGGAUUUUUCUUGAACCAUAGACAGACCCACGACUAGAAGUACAAUAACAUCUUAGUUUUUAUCAGACAAUAAAACAAUGCAGCUUACUUUAGGUAGGGCGUAUUUGGGGUGCUAAUACCUUUCCUUUACGCAACCAGUCCCCAUACCCGAUCUUUGAGACCAGUUAGGGUUCUUAGUGACCAAAAUACUAAGUGGCGACUCCCAUUCCAUUUUCUACUCACAAAAGACAAUAUUUUCUUGUAUCCCCAUAGAUAUGGAUAGAUUUACAUUGUAGAUAAGAAAAUGGAACAACCAAUAUAAUUUUCGCCGCGACGCCGCACACGUGCGACAAUCUAGAAGGAACGAGUAUUCCAAAUCCUCAAAACAUUUCUGUAAAGAAGAGAUGGGCUCAUUGAAAUAAACUGGAAGACAAACUCUAGUAAGAUCCUUCCCGAUAUUAUCUUUAAUCAUUGACCAAAGACUGACCCCCUUCUCCUUCUCAACUGGGUCAGGCAAUUUCUUUCGCCUCAUAACACAAGGGUAGUUAGAUCCAACAAAUUUGAUACAGGAAUCCAUGCCAUCUUCAAUAUCAAGCGGGCCUUCGUCUUCAUCAGAAUCAUAUGGUGUUUUCUGAAAUUCAGAUUCAGCACUUUUAAACGAACUUGAUGAAAGAAAAUCUUGAGUAUCAAGGAAUUCAUCGUCAUCAUCUGUUUCCUCCUCUGCAGCAUCAUGUCUGUCAUGAUCAUCAUCGGAGCCACUUGCACUUCCCUCUACAUAAAUUCCACACAAAGAGGGUCAAAAGAUAAAGUUAAAAUGGAUGACAGAGUUCAAAAGGAAAACAGAGAAAGAGGCUAAAUAUUGAAGACACGAGCAAGAGACAGGGGGCGAGAGGCCAGGUGUUGGUUUUCAAUUAUCCAUGAGAAAUCAAUUAGAAAUAGGUAUGUAUAUAAAUGAGUUUGAUUUAAAUAGCUACUAGUAUAGCAAUCAACUUGGGAGUUUUGAAGCAGAGAAACUUCAGACAAGGGUAAAGUAACAGGCCACAGGAAUUCAUCAUAAAAGCAGAUAGAGGUGCCUCAUUUAACCCACUCACAGACAGCUCAUCAUUCGCAUACAAGGCGCCAUGCAAGGCAGCUGAAAGUAUUUCAUAGCAUCCAUUUUCAGAACAAAGGAACUUCUAACUAAGCAAAACUAUAAUUCAACCAAACAAAAGUUAACUAUAGAAUCCAUGGCUGGUCCUCCAAACAUUUCUUCUUACAUAUAAUCAGCUGCUAAAACAAAUAAACAUGCACAAGUAUUGCAUUCAAAUUUCAAUCUAACAUGAAGGAUUAACAAACACGUCAGAUUUAAUUAUUCCAUAACCCACUAUUAAUCUAUCAUCAUUACACAUAAUUUAUGUAAGAUUAUCUUUUAUCUUUGACAAUUAUUGCAUUGCUAAUAAUUUGCAAGAAAACAUACUUUUUCAAUUUCCUUUUAUUUUUUUUUAUUAUGUUAGUAGAUGCUAGAUGCUGUUUGUUUUUGUGUUUUAAAAAUAUUUUUAAAAAAAUUUGAGAUUUUUUUAUUUUUUUUAUUUACUUUAAAUUAAUAUUUUUAGAUUAAUUUAAUACGUUAAUUUUAAAAAUAUUUAAAAAUAAUUCGAUGGUUUUUAAAUAAAGUUUUUUUUAGAAAAUCAUGACCCAUCACUGGGUAUCGAAAAAACAAUUAUGGUUGAUUUAGCCUCAUCUUCUCUGCUUGUAAAAUUGAGGCAGAUUAUGAACUUAACCGAGCAAUUACGGCUUGAAAUUCCUAGCAAUUUACAAAGGAAUUUUCCUUGUUCUUUCUCUAUACAUUAUUAGAAAAACUGUCAUUGACUGAUUUAAUUGCAAAGUCUUUGCAAGAAAGCUAAAACAAUUAGAGUUUUUUAAAAUAAAAAAAAUAUAAAGAAAAAAAUAAAAAUUAAAAAUUAAAAAAGGAGCAAAAGGAAACAACCCCCGUAUUUAUUGUUCCCUUUCCCGUCUUUACAUGGCUUGAUGAAAAAGCAAACACCCCAUUAGUUGUUGCCACCAAAUUCAACUACACGCUUGAGAAAUUUCCUUGCUUUUUUCCCCUCUAAGUGUUACCUUUUACCUCUUUUAUAAUUUUGAUUAUUGCAUUGCUAAUAAUCUGCAAGAAAGAUGAUGAAAAUUUUUUAGUGAAUUCAAAAUAACAAAAUAAGGUUUGUCGAGGCUUUUCUUGGAACCUCGCUAGGGGUUUAAUUAGCGAGAAUGAAUUCUACAAAGAUAUCGGACUGUGAGUUUGUUUCACAAUAAUGACCUUGUGGGUGGACAAUCAGAAUACGUUAGUGAGACAAAAUAUAAUGAGGUUAAUAAUGGGCUUCUACCACUCAUCAUUUAUCCCCAGGGAAGGCCAGGUAGGCCUAGGCCACUGCUUCUGUUAAAAAUACACUUAAUUCAGCUUAGGCAUCAACAAUAUUUUGCAUUAGUCUUACCACUACAUUAUAAUUAUAAGAGCUGUCAAGAUUCUGUUAAGUUAAUCUUUUAACAGAUCAUAGCAUGAUAUAAAUUUGGUGCUAUAAAUUAGCAAUUGAGUUUGUUUGGUUUACUAUAUAUUUGUACGGAUUGCAAUGAUCCAAAUACAAUCAAUUCAUUUUAGUUCAAUAACAAAACUAAAAUAACACUUGUAAGGUGAUGCAUAUUCUUGCAAUAAAUAAAGCCACCAAAGGCAGAUGCGUAUGUCUAUAUAUACAUGAACUGCUGAUUCGAUUUGAACACCCCAUUUCUCCGAUUGCUGCAAUUUCAUAGCUAGCUCUUUGUUAUACACAGGUAUACACGGCUAACUCUUCUUUGCUUCUUUCUUGUUUUAAUUUCAUGUCUUUACCAAUAACAUUAAUGUGAAAGCUUUGUUUGUUUCAUGUUUAACUUCAGUUGCUAUUGUCUUAUGCUAUCUCAUUAUUAAGCUUAAAUUGCUGUAUUAUCUUCGAUGAUCACUUCACCUGUAUCAGCAAUUGCUAAAUAUUGAUUGUUCCUUAAAUUCUGCAGCUGAAAUGACAGAGCCAGAGUCUUCUCGCUCUAGACCAGAAGGGGCCUAUGAUGUCUUCUUGAGUUUUAGAGGAGCGGAUACUCGCAAGACGUUUACUGAAUAUCUAUAUGCUACCUUAAAUCAAGCAGGAAUCCACACUUUUCGAGAUGAUGAUGAACUUCCUAGAGGAGAAGAAAUCUCCAAUCAUCUCCUCAGGGCUAUUCAAGAAUCAAAGAUAUCCAUAGUUGUCUUCUCAAAAGGAUAUGCUUCUUCUAGAUGGUGUCUCGAUGAACUUGUAGAGAUUCUGAAGUGUGAAAAGAAGAAAACCGGUCAGAUUGUUAUUCCUAUAUUCUAUGACAUUGGUCCUUCAGAUGUGAGAAAACAGACUGGCAGUUUUGCAGAGGCAUUUGAUAAGCAUGAAGAGCGUUUUGAAGAGAAGUUGGUGAAGGAGUGGAGAAAAGCUCUCAAGGAGGCUGCAAAUCUAUCUGGAUGGAAUCUCAAUGAUAUGGCAAAUGGGUAUGCCUUUUUUUCUCUAAGAUUCACUUGCACACAUUUAUGGAGUCAUUAUACUCUACAUUUUUCAAUGUGAAACAAUAAAAUACUCAAUUGACUCGCUAUCAAUGACUUGCUUUUGUCUAUGAGCAGGUCUGAAGCAAAAUUUAUCGAAAAGAUUAUCAAGGAUGUGUUGAAUAAAUUAAAACACAAGUACUUGAAUGUUCCUGAGCACCUGGUAGGUAUGGAUCGGCUUGCUCGCAAUAUUUUUGACUUUCUAAGUACUGCAACAGAUGAUGUAUGCAUUGUGGGCAUACAUGGGAUGCCAGGAAUAGGAAAGACAGCUAUAGCAAAAGUUGUAUUUAAUCAACUCUGCAAUGGAUUCGAGGGAAUCUGCUUUCUUUCGGAUAUCAAUGAAACAUCAAAACAAUUCAAUGGUCUGGCUCUUUUACAAAAGCAACUUCUUCAUGAUAUUUUACAACAAGAUGUUGCUAACAUCAAUUGUGUCGAUAGAGGAAAGGUUCUGAUCAAAGAACGACUUCGUCCCAAAAGAGUUCUUGUUGUUGCUGAUGAUGUGGCUCAUCUGGACCAGCUGAAUGCAUUGAUGGGAGAUCGAAGUUGGUUUGGUCCCGGAAGUAGAGUGAUAAUUACAACAAGAGAUUCAAGUGUUCUACUUAAAGCAGAUCAAACAUAUCAAAUCGAAGAAUUGAAACCAGAUGAGGCCCUUCAGCUUUUCAGCUGGCAUGCCUUUAAGGACACCAAGCCAGCAAAAGAGUAUAUUGAGCUUUCGAAGAAAGCCGUUGAUUACUGUGGAGGACUUCCUUUAGCUCUUACGGUUAUAGGAGCUUGUCUGUCCGGGAAAAACAGAGGUAGAUGGGAAAGUGAAAUUGACUACUUGAGCAUAAAUCCAAACCAAGAUAUUCAAGGAAAGCUUCUAAUAAGUUAUCACGCACUUGAUGUUGAACUACAAAGAGCAUUCCUUGAUAUCGCUUGCUUCUCUAUUGAUAGAAAGAAAGAGUACAUCGCAAAAGUGCUAGGAGCCCGUUUCCGUUGCAAUCCAGAAGUUGUUUUGGAAACUCUCCGUGAAAGGUCUCUAAUUAAAGUAUUGGGAGAGACGGUAACCAUGCAUGAUCUAUUACGAGACAUGGGAAGGGAGGUCGUCCGUGAAUCGUCUCCCUUGCUUCUUGGAAAGAGGACCAGAAUUUGGAAUCAAGAGGAUGCAUGGAAUGUACUUGAGCAGCACUAGGUAAGAGCUCAAUGCAUAACGAAAGCACAGUCAUGCGUGUUUUCUAGUCAAACUUAUUACAAAUAAUUGUAUGAAAGUUGUAUUGAUUUUUUUCUUAGGAUAGGUAUGCGUCUUGCACUGGAUGUCAGAUCAUUAGAAGCUAAAUCAAAUGAAAUGCUUAAAUUUACUCCAAAUUAAUGGACUACAUCUCAUCGGAUCCUUCAAGCUGCUUUCUAAAGAGUUGAUGUGGAUUUGUUAACUUCAAUGUCCUUUGAAAUAUUUUCCAUCUGAUUUUACAGUUGAAAAUCAGAUUAAGCUUGCUCUUUAAAAACACAUAAAAAUAGUCAUGGAACACUUGACUGAUCAAACAAAAAAAAAAUUAUUUAUUUUCUUUUAUUGAGCUCCAUAGUUUAAACUCUCUCUUUUCACAUAAUUUUUAGUUUGGUGUAAAUAUUCUAAUGUUUUUUAUAAUCUUUAUAUUUAUAUUUUUCAAUAUAAGUACACAUAGCAUCAUUGAAUCUUUUGAUUGAAAGUAAAAGGUUUUAUCUCGUAAAAUCAUCUCUAGAAGGUUUUAUUUGGUCAGUCUUCGAAAACUUAGGGAUUAAAAAAAAAAAACUUCUUGAUUUAAUUUGGAAACCUCAAGGAGAAAAUUGAAACAAGUAUAACCUCACGGGGGAGAAGUUGAAUUCUCCCCAAACUCAGGGGUUAAUUAAAAUUAACCUUUAAAUUUCUAUCCAUGCCCAGGUGCCCACGAAAGAGAAGAGGUACAUCCACGUGAAGCUCAUUUUGGGUUUGGGUUAGUUGAAAAUAUCUAGUGGGUGGGGCUUUUUUUUCUGUUUUUCUGUUUUUUUUUUUUUUUUUUUAUGCACAGAAUACAUGAAAUAAUAAAUUUAAAUCCAACAAAUCCAAUAGAGAUAUAAUACUGUAUACGAUCAACAUGAAAGAAUUUUACGAAAAGACAUGCAAAUAUCAUAUAUUAUGAGUCUCUGCCAGUCAUAAUUCUAUUGUUGUGUAUCAUCAAUUAUCUUUCUUGUAUAGGAAAUAUCAGGUUGGAUUUUGCUGAUGACAAACUUAAUCUUAGAGAUUGCAUCUGCGGUUUUUGACCAGAUGGGUUACGCAUUAAUUGGCAUGGUGUUGGCAUUUGUAGCUUUGCUUCUUGCUGCCGUUGAACUCAUUCACAUGGCUCGAAAGGAAAGAACUAAACGGGAGGGCCUAUUGCCACCUUUUCAUCUCCAUGCAACUGGAAAGCCUGUUGGCACUAUUGUUGAGUAUUUUGGAUUGGCUGGUGCUGUCUGGCAAUGUGUUUAUUCGACUGUGGAGUAUAUGUAUACUCGUCAGAAGAAAGAUAAUCCAAUUAAGAUGUGUCUUCUACCUUUCAUUUUCUUAUUAUGCGUGGUGAUUUCCAAAUUAUUAGUCAACAAGAGUUCCGUUGUAAAUAGUUCUUAGCAAUGGUAUUUUCUUUGAACUAGAAGAAAUUGCUAGUAUUGUGUUCCAAGGACUCUUUUUAGUGGGAAUGAGUCAAAGAUUUUGAUUCCUAGAUUUUCUUAUCGAAGACCCAGACUUGUAAUGCAAUUAAGACACUAUUUUUGAGACAGUGAGCUUGAGUUGAUGUUGACAAUCUAGCUAUUAUUGAUAUGCGGUUAAGUAAUCUCAAAUAACUAUGGAAGGAAAAAACUGUCAUUGACUGAUUUAAUUGGAAAUUAUUUGCGAGAAAGCUAAAAAGAAUUAGAGUUUUUUAAUUUAUAAAAUUAUAAUUCUAAAUUCUAAAAAAAAAUUCAAUUAUUUUUAAAAUUAUUUUAAAAAAUAAAACAUCAACUAUUUAUAUAAUAGAUAAAUAAAUCUAUUAAAAUAAAUUGAGAAUAACUAGUAAAAUCAAGCAAAUAAUCCAAAAAUAACAAGAAAAUAAAUAUAUUUUCUAGAUCUUAUUUGAGUAUUUUUUUUUUUCUUGAUUGACUGCCUUGUCAAAGUCUUUAUUCAGCAUAAACAAACUUUAUUCUAAAAGUCUGUUUGAUAUUUCUUCACUUAUCUAUGACAUUACUUCUACUGUACAGAAUAGAAAUAAAAAUUAGAUGAUAUUGGAAUGACAAAAACUCAUUUGCACAAAUUAUCCAUUAUGUAAUUUAUAUUUUCAAAUUACAAUUUUUGACGAGCCUUGUGUUUAGUUAAGGUGUAUCAAUCUGUUGGCUAUUUGAGGAGCCUCGGUUACUUGAAUCUGAAGGGAUGUUAGAGGCUAAAAAUCCUUCCGCGGAGCAUUUGUGAUAUGAAGUCUCUUGAAACUUUGAAUAUUUCAGGGUGUUCAGGACUUGAGAAAUUACCAGAUUGCAUGGGUGAUAUGGAAUCCUUAACUAAGGUGCUAGUGGAUGGAAUUGAAAAUGAGCAAGUUCUCUUUUCAAUUGUAUAAUUAAAGCAUGUCAGAAAAAUAUCAUUGCGUGGAAACAGUUUCUAUCAGAACUCAUCGUCAUCUACAUUUUGGCAUCCACCAAUUUCUUCUUGAUUUCAGCAAGUGUUUUAUAUUGAAAACGUUUCUUGAACUUCCUGAUGAUGAUUUUUCUAAUCACGCAACUAACUGUGUUGAUUUUAGGGGUUUGUCCUCUCUAGAACAAUUGGAUCUAUCACAAAAUAAAUUCUCUAGCGUGCCUUCUGGGAUCGACUUCCUUCCCAAGCUAGGGACCUUGAGUGUUGUUGGAUGCGACAAUCUUGCAUCAAUCUCAAAUCCUCCCUCAAAUUUAUACUGUUUGAAUGCACUUUAUUGCAAAUCAUUGAAAAGAGUAAGAAUACAGUCAAAAGAAGAAAUACUUAUAGAUCUAAAUGAUUGUCCUUUAUUAGAAGAGAUUCAGGACAUCGAAGGUCGCAGUAAUAUUUUCUAGUGUAUUUAUGUUGAUUUCCCUAGGGAUUCAUCAAAUAAUUUCUAGAAGAGCCUUAUUGAGGUACUAUUUAUGUCUCUCUUGCGCAAAAAUAAACACACACAUUGAUUAAUUUUUAAAAUCUCAGCAUUACUUGAAAUCAAUAUAUAUUUAUACAGGCAUUGGGCGCCAGUUGUUACCGGUAUUUUAUUUACAACAUUCCUGGUGAGAUGCCAAAUUGGUUGAGUUAUAUCAUCUUUUCUUAUAUUUCCCUUGUGAUUUAGAGCCCGUUUGGAAACAUGGGCCAACCCGCGUUUCCAAAAAUUUUUAAAAAAAUAUUAUAAAAAUUAAAUUUAUUUUUUUUUAUUUUGAAUUGUUUUGAUGUACUGAUCUUAAAAAUAAUUUUACAAAAAAAAAAAACCCACCAUUUUUGCAUUUCGGCAAGAAAAUAAUCACAACCAUACUCCCAAAAGGCUCUUAAUAAUAGCGUCAACACAUGAGCAAUGAAGUAACUAUUUAUUUCCGAAGCUACAAAAACAUAAUCUCGAUUUAAUGUUUUUUUUUGUAAGAAUAAAUAUUUCAUUUAGUUAUUAUUAUUUUAUUUCUUUUAAUUUAAAACAUUAAAAAUUAUCUUUAAUUAUUUUAUUUUUCUUAUUUAAUUUUAAAAAUUAAAUAUCAUCUUUAAUAAUAUUUUUUUAUUAAAUAUUUAGAGUAUGUUAGAUUUUAUUAUUUAUUUAUUUUAUUUUAUGAUAAUAUUUUUAUUAUUAAAUUUAAAAAAUUAAAUGUUAUCUUUAAUAAUUAGAUCUAUCCAAUCUCACUUAAUUAAACCAUUAUUUUAUUGCUAGAAACUUAUGAGUCUUUUAAGCCAAAAGAAUUGUAGGAAGAGCUAAAAUUAGCAAGGAAUAUUUAGAGUCUAUUUGAUUUUAUUGUUUAUUCUUUGAUUUCAUGGUAAAAUUUUUAAAUUUUGAAAAACAAAAAUUGAAGACUUAUAUGUUUUGAACUUUUUUGUUAUAUAUAUAUAAAAAAAAAAACCAACAGUCACUAACAUAAUUUCGUAAAAUCACUUUAGUUUAUUUGAAAAAUAUAUUGAAAACUGAUUUUUUGUUUUUUUACAUUAAAAACAAAAAUUGAACAAUCUUUUUAUAUUUUACUUCAAAUAUGGUAUUUUAAAACAAAAAUGAAAACGACGUGAAAUUAACCAUUUUAAUUAUAAAGUAAGUUUCUUAAUUAAAAGUGAAAGUGAGUUAAUUUGUAAUAACAUGAAUUUUGUUGGUUUUUCAUGGAACGCAAUAGGUCAGCACUGGAUGCAAGACCCUUAAAAGAUAGAUCAUUGAUCAUUUACAGAGAGAUGCUUGAAGUUAAUUACUCUAGAUAAGUAUUGGGCUUUUCAGAUUUCUUUCUGACAACUUAUUCAUGAUGGAAUUUAUACUUUUUCUCAAGACAAAUUGAUAAAAACUACAAAUACAUAAACAAAAAAAAAAAGUAUUUAAUCGUUAUGUUUUAUAUUCAUCUAUGAUUUAAUUUUUUUCCAUCAAUUUCAUUUUCUUAUUUAUUUUAAUCCUAAAAUAACAAUAAAAAAAAAAUAAAAAAUCAUAUCAAGAAGUUCAAUUCAAAAUAAACAAGAUGCUUAAAAAAUCUUUUAGUAUCGCAUCUUUUUUUUGUAAAAAAAUAUAAAACAACAACGUAUUUAAUCAACUCGAGUUUUGUGGCCUAACCAUACCGUGACAAUCAUGUAAAAAUCAAAUUUUAAAAAAUCAAUCCAUAGAAAAAAAAUGCAUUGGAAAAACAAAUUUAAAAUAAAUUAAAUAAUUAAAAAAAGUUCAGUAAAAUAUAUUUUAUAAAAAAAAUAUUCAGACAAUAAUAACAAUUAUCAAGCUAAUAUUCAUACCAUUCCAAAUGAAGCCUUACAUGGUGAAACGAAGCUCAUUGGGCUAUAAAAAGUGCAAAUAACUUCUGAAAAGAUUAAAACGAUUCAAACUAAGCUCAGGAAGUACAAAGUAGACAGAAGAGUUAUGUUGACCUUAUACGACUGGAAUUGAAAUUUGUUGAUGGUGAUUAUGUAUUUUUGAGAAUUCCUCCUACCAUAUAUUGGGCCUUUUAAAAUUUUGAAGAGAAUUGGUGCUGUUGCUUAUGUAUUAGCUUUUCCACCCAGCUUUUUCAUCUAUACAUCCAGUGUUCCAUGUAUCUCCGUGCUCUAUCACAUAUAUUGGAGCCAUAAACAGUAGCAUUUCAAGAAGAUAUGUCAUGUGAGAAUCAACUGGAGAACCUGAGAAGAUGAUACGUAAUAAAUAUUGUUAUUUCUUCGUUCAAUCAAGCCCAUUUGUUAGUUAUAUAACCCAUUAUUGUUUUAUAUGUUGGCCCGUUAAUUAGGUAGCCCAUUUGUUAUUACAGAAAGAUAGAGGUAAGGACAUUGUUAGUCAUUUUCUUCCUUAAUUCUCUCUUUGUUGUAAUGAGUAAAUACCUUAAGAAAUUUGAAUAUUUGAAAGAUAAUGAGUAAAUUUCAAAGAAUCAUAUUGAAAUUAUGGAAAAUAUGUUUUGGUGUUGAUGAUGGAAGAAUUACAGUUUGGUCCUUGCCUUUGAGAAAUUAAGAUUUUGUCCCUAAAUUCUAAAACAAUUAUAGUUUAGACUCUGGUUGUAAAUAGCAAUUUUUAGAUAUCUUUUUGAUAAAUAUUUGAGAAAUAUUGAUUAUCUAUUAUCAAUUUUUAUUGUUAUCAUUUAAAUUUAGAAUUAAUUCUAUUAUGUAUUUAAAUGCGUUUAGCUAUUUUUUCUCCUUUAAUGUAGCUAUUUUUUCUCCUUUAAUGGGCUAGGAUUUGAAACAAAUGUGGCUAUGUUUUCUCCGUUUAAUAUAAAAAAAUAAUAUUCAUGGAUUAAUUUUCGUAUAAUUCAAGAAAGCAAGUCCUUAAAUCAAAUUUUAGAGUGACCAUCCUCAAUGUGUUAAAAGUAAAUGUUAAAGGAGAGAGAGAAAUAAAAAUAAAAAUAAAAAGCAAAAGCAAAAGGAAACAACGCCCAUCUUUCUUGGUCCUCUCUCUCUUUCCUUGCUUUUUUUAACGUGUGGACCUAGCAGUUGUUGCCACCAAAUUCCAGCUCAAUAUUUACCAGCUCUACACGCUUGAGAAAUUUCCAUGCUUUUCUUCCUCUACGUACUGUUACCUUUUACCUUUUAUAAUUAUGAUUAUUGCAUUGCUAAUAAUCUCCAAGAAAGAUGAUGAAUAUUUUUUAGUGAAUUCAAAAUAACAACAAAUAAGGUUUGUUGAGUCUUUUCUUGGAACCUUGUUAUGGGAUUAAAUAGGGAGAAUAAUAAAAUUAUGUGCGAAUUAUACAAAAUUUAUUAUUAAUCAUAAAUUUUUAUUCUUGAUCAUCAAUAUUGAAUAAUGGCUUAUUUUCUAGUAUAAACUGUGUUUGAAAUAUCAAGUUGAUGUUCUUAAGUGUUUUUUUGAUGAUUUUAAUAUACUGAUAUUAAAAAUAAAAAUAAAAAUAAAAAAACUAAUUUUGUUUUCAAAAAGAAAUUGACAAUCAAUUCCUUGCUUUACUCUCCAGCUAGCCUGAUACAUAUGAGUCUCAAGACAUAUGGCCAUUGAUAAAAAGGUGUGUUGAAGCAAAAUCUUUUUUUAAUUAUCUGUAGCGACCUCAAUAAUUUUGUCAAUAUGCACCUACCUUGAAAUUACCAAUACGUAAAUUCCAGCUCAAUAAUUGCCAAUACGAGCUUGAGAAAUUUCCUUGCUUUUUUUUUCCCCUGUACAUGUUUCCUUUUUAUCUUUUAUAAUUAUAAUUAUUGCAUUGCUAAUAAAUUACCAAUACGUGUGGACCCAGUUGUUGCGACCACCACGAAAUUACCACUCCAAAUUCCUUCUUCUUUCUCUGUAUUUUAUUAGAAAAACUGUCAUUGACUGAUUUAAUUGGGAAUUAUUUGCGAGAAAGCUUAAAGAAUUAGAGUCUUUUAAUUUAUAAAAUUAUAAUUUUAAAUUGUAAAAAAAAUUCAAUUAUUUUAAAAAAUAAAAUAUCAACUAUUUAUAUAAUAGCUAAAUAAAUCUAUUAAAAUAAAUUGAGAACAACUAGUAUAAUCAAGCAAAUAAUCCAAAAAUAAUAAGAAAAUAAAUAUAUUUCCUAGGUUUGAUUUGAGUAUAUUUUUUAUAUUAAUUGACUGACUUGCUAAGUCUUCGCUGAGCAUAAAUGAACUUUACUCUAAGAGUAAGAGUAUGUUUGAUAUUUCUUUACUUAUUAAUGAAAUGUUACUUUUAAUUUAUAGCGGAUUGAUUUAUUGAGCCAAUCUGAAUUUAAUAACUAUAGUCUAUAGUCAUACUGCUAAUACUUGCACCGAAGCUAAUAAUAUUUUUUUUCUAAAAUAAAGAUGAAUAUUUUUUGUUGGCAUUAAUAAUUUAAAAUGAGAAUUAAAGAGCAAAGGGUUUAAGCAAUAUUAAAAGAGAAGGUUUUGUGUAAGUAUUAGAUAAUUGAAAUCAUCACUAGUUCAUUUUCUUUUUUUAUUACCCCUUCCGCUUGGCAUGCCUGAAAAGGAGCCAAAAAAAUAACCAUAGGUUUUUCCGGUUUUGGACCUCAUAGGUUUGGACCGGUUCCGGUUUAGUUUGGAUCCCUUUUUUAAAAACAGUUUGGUUGUUUUCUAAAGGUAAAAACCAAACCGAACAAAAAAUGAUCACCUCUAGCAGCAACAACACAUUAACAUACCAGCAUUAUGGCAGAAGGAGGGACGACCUUAGAGCAAGUGCAGAGGUAUGUUAAAGGCUUGGGUAAGCUAUAGCCCAAGUCAAGACUUUAUCAAUAUUUUAUAGCUAGUUUUAUGUAAAAAAAAUUAUAAUUCUUGAUUGAGUUAUCAAAAAAAAAAAUUAAAAUUUACGUGGAGCCUUCUAAUAUAAUAUUUUAACUUGGGUUAAAAUUUCAUAAUAAUUUAAGAAAUUCAAAAAUUUGAUGAAAAAUCACAAUUUGACCAGUUUUAUGUUAUUGGACAUAAUUUUCAAUUCGACAAUUAGAUUGAACUGAAAUUUUACGAGAGAUCUUAAAAUAUAUUGAAUAAAAUAUGGUUAAAAUUUUAUGAUGAACGAAGCUUGGAAGUGCUAACAAAAAAAAACUGUCAAAUAAAAACAAAUCGACUCAUUAAGGGUAAAAUGAUUACUAUUAAAAAAUAAAACAAAUAAGCUCUUCCUUCAUUUUAUAUGUUGCCGACUAGACAGAAGCAGAAUAAGAAAAGAAAGAAAAGAAAAGGCAAGAGAGAAAGAAAUGAAAGUAGGGGUCAUCAUUUUCGGUUCGGUUUGGUUUUUAACAAAACAAGUAACCAAACUGAAUUUUUUUUUGAAAAAAAAACCAAAACCGGUUCGAACCGGCCGGUUUGGUUUUUUAAGGAAAAAAACUGGUUCAAACCAGUUUGACUCGGUUUUUUUUCGGUUUGGCUCGAUUUUUUCGGUUUUGACUCGAUUUUGCUUGGUUUUUUCGGUUUUGGCUCGGUUUUUUCCCGGUUUGACUCGGGUUUUUUCAGUUCGGUUCGGUUUCAGACGUAUAAAACCGAUAUCAAACCGGUCGGUUUUUUCAAAAUUUUAAUCGGUUUUUUUUCACGGUUCGGUUUUUUCAGUUUUUUUGCUCACCCCUAGAUAAAAGUAAGGGAAAAACAUUAAAAAAAAAAUAAGAAAAGUAAAAGAAUAACAUUGUAAACUUACAAAGUCCAACUUAUAAAACACUAAUUUAAGGAAGAAUUAAGUGAAGGAAGGAGGAAUUGAGAGAGAGAAAAAAUUUAAUUACUUUGUUUCCAGUUGACAUGAGAUUGUUAUUUUAUCUCGAUUGAGGAGUUGUUACAAUAUCGAUUAAGAUUCGAUUAUAGAUAAAUUAUAUUUCACAAAAUAUUGAAAGAUGUAACUUCAAUAAUAAAUUUAUUUUUACUUUCACUUCAAUUUUAUGUAUUUUUAAAUUUAUUUUUUAAUAUUUUGGGUAGUAUAUUUGAAUUAAAACUUUAUUAUUAGUUUCAAAUAUAUAUAUAUAUAUAUAUGAAUUAAUAAUUAAUCUUAAAUAAAAUUAUAUAUUUAUUUAAUAGCUCAAGAAAAAUUCAUUACUCCGUCCUUACAUUAGAGUACACUCCCACAUGCGUUGUGGCGGCGGUUUGCUCUGUUAUUGCGCUCAUUUCUCUUAUUGUUGAAAGAUCCCUUCGCCUCCUUGGAAAAAGAUAAUAUAACUGCAUUGACCGGAGAUUUCACUUAGAAUUUCUAGUAAAUUACAAAGGAAAUUUCCUAUGUUUUUUCAUGUACAUGUAUUGAAAAACUAUCACUGAUUGACUGACUUGCAUUGACUGAAUUUCUAAGUAUUUGCUGCUCGAAAUGAGCAAUCCUGUUUUUUCAAUGCUGCCAUUUAGCAAGUCCACAUGUCAUGAGUCUACACGGCAUCAAAUUUGCAAAAUCAUAUAGCCCAUUGAUAGAAAUCAUAUAGCCCAGUUGUUGCAAUACACCCUUGAGAAAUUCCAGCUCGAUCUUUACCAAUACACGCUUGAGAAAUUUCCUCUACGUACGUGUUACCUUUUACCUCUUUUAUAAUUAUUAUGAUUAUUGCAUUCCUAAUAAUUUGCAAGAAAGAUGAUGAACACUUUUUAGUCAAUUCAAAAUAACAAAAUAAGGUUUGUUGAGGCUUUUCUCGAUCAGGGAUUAAUUAACGAGAAUAAGAAAAUCCCCUUCAAAUUAUACAAAAUUUAUUAUUAGUCAUCUAUAUUUAUUAUUAAUCAUCUAUAUUGAAUAAUGGCUUAUUUUAUAGUAUAAACAAUGUUUGAAAUAAAAUUAGUAAAAGAUAUUAUACAUAAUUAAUGAUGGGAUCGUUUAUAAAAAUGACUAAAUUAAAGUUUUUCAAUUAUAUUUAAACAUAUUAUAAUUUUAAUAAAUGGGCUGUACAUCAUGUAAAUUAUAAAAGAAUAUUUAAAUUAUAUAUAUAUAUAUAUAUAUAUAUAUAUAUAUAACAAAUUAGAUGAUACUAACAAGAAAAUAUAUAGGAAUUAGUUUGAAUAAAGGAUACUAGUUAUAUAUCUAGAGAAGAAGUUCGAAGAAUAGAAUGAAGUCAAAUAUUCUUAAUAAAAAAGAAAAAAACACAUAAAGAAAUAAAAUAUGUUUUUAAUUAAUAAAUAUAAAAGAUGGAUGAAAGUAUUAGAGAAGAAGAAAGAGAUAUAGAAUCUGUUUGUGAAAUUUCUAAGAACUUAAUUACAAUUAUAUUAUAAUUUCUUCCCUAAAAUUAUUCAAAAUAUAGUAUUAGAAUUACAUAAUGCUAGGUUUUAAUAUAUAAUUAAAAAGUUUCCCAUGAACCAAAUAAUAAAAAUAUUGUAUAACUCUUUUGAAUGAAUUAUUAAAUUAGUCCAUUUAUAGGUUGACUCAGUAUUCCUGCCUUGAUUGCCAGGAAAUUUCACUAGAAAUUUCAAGUAAUUUACACAGGAAAUUUCCUGGUGAUAAACCUGGGAUAUGAUUUUCAACUUUCUUGGCAGCUGCAUCAAGGAAAAAACGUUUCAGAUGCGAAAAAUAAAGAUAAAAGUGGAAAAUAGAAGCGGAAAAAAAAUCCCAAAUAUCGACAAACAUCCCAAAUACAGAUAUCCUUAAAUUUAACCCAUUCUAUUUUACAUAAAUAAAUGAUAAGAUUAGGUGAAGAAUUAUUUGAUGUUUCCAUGCAACUUUGAAAGAAUAAUAAGGAAUAACACUUUUGAGAGAUUAAGAUUAAUUUUCAAUUCAGACAUAAUCAAUUGAGAGAUUAAUACAAACUAAAAGAUAAUAAAUAAAUAAAUAAAUAAAUAUCAGUCAAUUUGAUACAAAUACAAAAUGAUGCAAGUGGAUGCUAUCAGUGUAUUCUUGUAGCUUUCAAUUGUUUUCCCCCCUAAAUUAAGGUGUCGAAAAAUAGACCAAUGAAGCGAUCUUUACUAUCAGUGUGUCUCCCACGGCAAAAACAUUAAUGCAAUCAGUUAGUGCCUGCUGGAAAAUUACUCCAAGAAACUUCAUGGAACCACCAAAAUAAGGAAGAAAACAAAAACGUUAAUAAUGGUGAAAAUAACUUGACAUUAUCUGUCGAGAUGAUUUAAGUUUUUUUUUUUAAAUAAUUAUUUUACAAAUAUUAUAAAUUAAUGUGUUAUGGCGUCACACGUCAAUUUAAGAGAUUGUUUUUUUUAAACGUACUAACAAUCCAACACAAAGCCAUCUAAAAUAUUUACAAAUAGUUAUAGCAUUUAACUAUUUAUGUAGGGUAUUUUUAAGAAAUAUUUUUUAUUUAAAAAUAUUUUAAAAUAAUUCAUUUCCGCUUGCAUGUCAUGCUCCUCCAUUGUUUUUGCAGCCUGUCCCGUUCCAGUAUCUGCACACCACGCACUGCCGAUGUUUCCGGUGUUUUUUCCGCGUUCCUCCGUGAAUAAAAAAAUGUUAUUUUUUCUCGUUUAAUUAUUUAAAUAUUUAUUUUGAAGUGUUUUUUUUUUGGAUUGCACGAUGUAAUUUAUGUAUUUGCACAAUAGUUGUGUGAUUUACAUAAAUUUUAUUUAUAUUGAAUGAUAUUUUUCCAUCCUACAUUAACCAUAAUUCUAUAGGUAGAAUCACCUUCGAAGUGACUAAAUCUGCUUUAAUAUAUUUGAGAUUCACUCAAUGCCACUCUCAUCGGUAUUCUAAAAGCGAAGAGAAGAGUAGAAGCAAUGUGAUAGCUAUACAGGUGAGACUUAAUAAUUUACAGGUGAUAAUUAUUUUUUAAAAUAUUUUUUUUAUUUGAAAAUAUAUUAAUUUAAUGUAAAAUAAUAAAUAAAAUUAAUUAUUUUUAAUUAUUUUUUAAAAUGUAAAAACAAAGAGGAUAUAAUCAACCGUAUGUUACCUUGUAAACCGUAUGUUAGAGUCCCUCAAAUAUUCUGGCUACAGCAACCACUAUAUUGUAUGCCAAGCAGUAUUUUGUCCUUGAACCCUUGGCCCUCUAAAUUACCCAAAAAGGACAAUAAUUGAGCACAAGCGGUACAGGUCAGGCUUAAACUCAGCUUGCUAGAGCCAGUUCUCAAUUUUAGGCACCAGUUCUCAAUCGAAUUUUAGCAAAAUCAAGGAUCCAAGAAUUGGCCUCUGUAACAUGGUUUGUAUUCUGAGCCAAUCUGGGCUAGGAUUUGAAACAAAUGUAGCUCUUUUUUUCUCCUUUUAUUGUAAAAAAAUAAUAUUCAUGGAUUAAUUUUCGUGUAAUUUAAGAAAGUAAGUCCUUUAAUCAAAUUUUAGAGUGAUCAUCCUCAAUGUGUUAAAAGUAAAUGUUAAUUACCACUAAGAAGGAACGCAAAAAGACAUUCCUUUUCUUGUCAUAAAGUUUUGAAGAGCUAUCAAAACGUACUAUCGUGUAUUAUUGUCAUAAAAAUUUUCCAACUUUCAAUAUAGAGAGAGAAAUAAAAAUAAAAAGCAAAAGGGAACAACCAUUUUGAUAUUCAAUCAGUAUGAGUGAGAAAGAAAGGAAGCAUCUUUCUUGUGUGCUUUCCCUUCUUUACAUGGCUUACCCGAUGAAAAAAGCAAACACCCCAUUUUGAUUUUCAAUCAGUAUGAUUGAGAAAGAACGACAGGGCAAGGUUUGUUGAGGCUUUUCUUGGAACCUGGCUCCUUGCUUUUUUUAACGCGCGGACCAGUUGUUGCCACCAAAUUCUUUCCUCAAUAUUUACCAGCACUACACUCUUGAGAAAUUUCCAUAGAGCCUUAUAAUAUAAUAUUUUAACUUGGGUUAAAAUUUCAGAGAAAUUCAUAAAUUUGAUGAAAAUUAUAAUUUGACCAGCUUUAUAUUAUUGGGCAUAAUUUUUAAUCCGGCCAUCAGAUUGAGCUCAAAUUUUACGAGAGAUCUUAAAAUAUAUUGAAUAAAGUAUGGUUAAAAUUUUAUGAUGAACAGAGCUUGGUAGUACUAAAAAAAAAAAAAACCGUCAAAUAAAAGCAAAUCGACUUAUUAAGGAUAAAAUGGUUUUUUGCCAUUAAAAAAUAAAACAAAUAAGCUCUUUCUUCAUUUUAUAUGUUGCCGACUGGGUAGAAGCAGAAUAGGAAAAGAAAGAAAAGAAAAAGUGAGAGAGAAAAAGAUAAAAGUAAGGGAAAAACAUUAAAAAAAAUCCAAAUAAAAAAAAUAAGAAAAGUGAAGGAAUAACCUUGUAAACUUACAAUGACCAACUUAUAAAAUACUAAUUUAAAGAAGAAUCAAUUGAAGGAAAGAGGAAUUGAGAGAGGGAAAAAAUUUUAUUACUUUGUUUUCCAGUUGACAUGAGAUUGUUAUUUUAUCCCGGUUGAGGGGUUGUUACAAUAUCAAUUCAGAUUCGAUUAUAGAUAAAUUAUAUUCCACAAAACAUUGAAUGAUGUAACUUCAAUAGUGAGUUUAUUUUUACUUUCACUUCAAUUUUAUGUAUUUUUAAAUUUAUUUUUUAAUAUUUUGGAUAAUAUAUUUGAAUUAAAAUUUUAUUGUUAGUUUCAAAAGUUUAUGUACAUAAAUUAAUAAUUAAUUUUUUUAAAAAAUUAUAUAUUUAUUUAAUAACAACAGGAAAAAUUGUCUCGCAUAAAUUCCCACAUGCGUUGUGGCAGCGGUUUGCUCUGUUAUUGUUCUCAUUUCUCUUAUUGUUGAAAAAUCCCUUCACCUCCUUGGAAAUGGCAUUCCAAGUGUGCAGUAUUUAUUGUCAUAAAGUUUUUCAAACAUCCAAUAUAGAGAGAGAAAUGAAAAUAAAAAGAGCAAAAGGAAACAACCCCCACCCCAUCUUUCUUGUUCCCUUUCCCUUCUUUACAUGGCUUACUCAAUGAAAAAGCAAGCACUAAUGCACCUUCUCCACAAACUACCCCCAAUUUCGCCGCUAUAUAAAUAUAUUAUGGAAAACAAGAUAAAAAGAAAUCUUUUGGUACAUCUAUAUAUAUAUAUAUAUAUAUAUAUAUAUAUAUAUAUAUAUAUAUACAUGGUAUCAGAAUAUCUGUGAAGUAUUGCUGGGAAGUCAUAAUUUUUGACACGCCUAAUCACAGUCUUUUUUUGGAAAUUUCCAUCAUUUGAUCUUGACAGCAUCAGAUUAGACAAUUGCAUGGAAAUGGUCUUCUUAGUUUGCCGUGUGGAAAAUCAUGUCAUUUACGGGGCUGCUGGAGAGAUUUUCUAUUGACCGGUAAUUUCGCUCGAAAAUUUCUAGUAAUUUAUAAAGGAAAUUUCUACUGUAUAUGAAUUGAAAAACUAUUAUUGACUGACUUCUUAAAAAGUAUUCGCAAGAAAGCUAAAGAAUUAAAGUUUUUUAAUUUUUAAAAUUAUAAUUUAAAAUUGUAAGAAAAAAAUCAAUUGUUUUAAAAUUGUUUUCAAAAAUAAAACAUCAACUAUUUAUAUAAUAGCUAAAUCUAUUAAGAUAAAUCCAAAAUAACUAGUAAAAUCAAUGACUUGCAUUAUCAAGCUUGACGAAUUUUAAGCUUAAUCUAUUGUAUUAUCUUUGAUGAUCACUUCACAUGUAUCUCUUGCUUGUAUUUGCAAGAGAGAAGAUACCUUAUGCAAUUGCUCCAUUGCUAAUUGAUUGUUCCUUCUGCUCUCUCAUUAUUAAGCUUAAACUGUUGUAUCAUCUUAUGUUCCACAUUAAGGAUAUAUAAUUAAUUAAUCGGACCGACCAUUAUGUUAAGGAUAAGAGAUUGUGGGCGCCUCUUUUUUCUUGUUGACAACUCAUGAUUUAUUUAUAGCAGUUAAGGAUAUAAUUAAUCGGACCCACCAUUAUGUUCCACGUUAAAGAUAUAAUCCAAUGUUUCAUAAUGAUCAUCUUGAAUUUGGUUUUUUCUGCAUUAAUGUAUAACAGGUAAAAUUAAAUGAUUAUUGGAUGAAUUUGCAUAAAUAUUAAGUCCAAUAACAUAAUUAAAUUUUUAAUAAAUCAAUUUGAUUUAAUCAUGGAUCAAAUUAAUUUUUAAUUAUAUUUAAAUUAAUUUUAAUCCAAUUAAAGGAUUUAAUUAAAUGCAAGGAUUUAAUUAUACUUUAAAAGGGUUAAAUUAAUUUUAUUAGAGAUUUAAUUCAUGAAAAAUUAAGUUUGAAAACUCAAUUUAAGUUUAAUUAAAAAGAUUAAUAUUUUAAAAAAUCAAAAUUAAUUUUUAUCAAAUUAAUUAAUUAAAAUCAGGAUGCAAAAAUAUCACAACACAAUUGAAGUUUAGCUUUUAUCAUUUCAAAAGUUCCAGCCUCAUCUUCACUACUUGUAAAAUUGGGGCAGAUUAUGGACUUAACCGAGCAAUUACCGCUCGAAAUUCCUCGUGAAGGAAAUUUCCUUGUUCUUUCUCCGUAUAUUUUUUUCAUAUUAAUUAUAUUUUUCAUAAUUAUUUGCUCUGAAGAUUACCAAAUACAAAAAAAAAAAAAAUUGUUUCUAAAAUAAUAGGAUAUGAAUAAUUAACUAUAGAAACUAAAGAGUGGAUCGGUUAUCUUUAACGUUUGCAAAUAAUUAAAGAGAUAUAAAUUUUGUGAUGAGUUAUGAUUAACGCAGAAGCAAAUAAAAGAGGAACAGAAAUUAUAAGCCAAUAUUGUUUUCGGUUUCAACUUUAAAUCAAACCUAUAAAACCUAACCAUUACAGCUUCUCUCUCCAUCUUCUUCGUCUGCUUUUGUCAUGGCAUCAACUCAUCGAGUACAGGUAGAGAUACUUGAGGUCUAUCAAGUCAUCCUGUCCUUGAACUCACUUGACCCAGCCAUCGAGUUAUUUUUUCCGCUCAUCUUUUUUCCUACAAACUCACCAAGACAGCAGCGGAUUAUUUUAACUCAGUGAUCCUUCCAGGAAGGCCAGGCCGCAUUGAUUGUGUUAAAAAAAAAAAAUCUAAUUCAGCUUAGUAUCAACUGCAUUAUAAUUAUUUAGGAGGAUAGUUGAACCAUAUUUUUAAAAAAAAUUAAUUUCUUUUUUAUAAUUAUACUCCAACAGCAACUACCUCGAAAUUACCACUCCAAAUUCCAGCUCAAUAUCGAUCAACAUGUGGCUAAAAUUGAUAAAAGACACAUAAUGAUGGUAUUGUAUAUUUUGAACUAAAUUGAGGUUUUUUAAUUAUUACUUCAAAAUAUAUCAUGGUUUUAAUAGUUGGACGGUAUAUUAUAUAAAUUAUUAAAAAAUAUUUAUUUUUAUUAUAUAUGUAGUAAUAAUAAAUUAGAUGAUAAUAACAAAAGAAUAGGAAUUAGUUUGAAUAAACAGUACCAGUUCCUAUUAUGAUAUGUAUAGAGAAGAAGUUGGAAGUAUAAAAUGAAGUCAAAUAUUCUUAAUAAAAAAAACACAGAAAUAAUUAAAAUAUGUUUUUAAUAAAUAUAAAAGAUGGAUGAAAAUAUUAGAGAACAUGAAAGAGAUAUAUAAUCUCUUUGUAAGAUUUCUAAGAACUUAAUUACAAUUACAUUAUAAUUUCUUCCUUAAAUUAUUCAAAAUAUAUAUUAUUCUAGGUUUUAAUGUAAUUAAAAAGGAAGUAUUUGCAGGAAAGCUAAAGAAUUAAAUUUUUUAAUUUUUAAAAUUAUAAUUAAAAUUGUAAGAAAAUAAUCAAUUGUUUUUAAAAAUAAAACAUCAACUAUUUAUAUAAUAGCUAAAUCUAUUAAGAUAAAUCGAAAAUAACUAGUAAAAUCAAUGACUUGUAUUGACGAGUGUGUCUAUAUAUACAUAUAGGAAUUGCUGAUUCGAUUUGAAUAUGUUAUUUGAUUAGUCUAAUUCAUGAUUUGCAUUGACUCAAAAUUACCACUAAAAAUUCCUAGUUUCGUGGUGCUUUCUCGGCCUGCAAAUGAAUAUAAAGCAUAUCCUUUUAUCCUAUAUAAAGAAUACAAUUAACCUUUUUAUCUUUUAUAAUUACAAUUAUUGCAUUGCUAAUAAUUUGCAUGAAAGAAUAUUCUUUCUCUGAAAAGGGCUUGAGAAAACCCUAAGCAUAUUAUAUAAUCUCUUAUAGGAAUCUCUUUAUUAAAUCAUCAAAAUAUCAAAGUCUUUUUCCAAAGACUAUGAGUACAGUUUAUAUAUAGAAACAACCAAAUAUAAAAAUUAUUAUUUUUUAAAUAGAAAAACCAGAGAGCUUGAUAAUAUUUAAUAAAAAAAAUAAAAUAGAAAAAUUAUUCCUUUUUAAGUAGAAAAAAAUUAUAAAGAUUUUAAUAAUACUAAAUAAGAAAAAUUAAAAUUUCUAAACUAAAUUAAAAAAAAAAAGUUUUGGCUACAUUUACUUAGUCCCUGUUAUUUGUAAAGCUUAUAACUUAAUUCAAAUCAAUAAAAGUUUAGCAGUUUGAUACAAAAGCUCAUGGCCAAGUUAGAAAUAUUUGUUUUGGAUGUAAUAAAUAUUCAUAUUGGGACAUAAUAUUUAUCUUUCAAAUCCAUAAUUUAAUUGAUCAUAUAAAUAAAUUUUUUUAAAAAAAAAAAGCAAAAAGGAAACAUCUUUCUUGUUCCCUUUCCCUUCUUUACACGGCCUAGUACUCAAUGAAAAAGCAAACACCUCAUUUGAUUUUCAAUCAGUAUGAGAGUGAAAAUGAGAGAGAGGUACAAGUUUGUUUCUAUCUAAGAAAGCAAGAAGCUCCCACUAAUGCAUGUUCUCCACAAACUACCCCCAAUUUCACCAUUACAGCUCAAGUAGCUUUGAGUCAUUGAUUCCAACAAAUAGGAAUUGAAUUCAAAGGAAUAAAUCAUUAAAUGCGGAGUUGGUGCUCUCGUGUUUGUGGUGCUGAUAAAUGUAAGAACAGACAAAGAGAUGAAAUAGGAAAAAUCCAUGUAUCUAUCCUUUAUCCUGCUGUUAAUUUUUUAAAGACGCGUAUCAGGUGUUUGAUAAAAUUCCUCAACUUAAAAAAAAAAAAAAAAAAAAAAAAAACCAUGUUUAGAAUGCUUGAGUCCUUUACGAGUGGAAAGUGGGAACUAUCCACUUUCCCAUUCUCCACUGACCGUGAAAGAGGGAACUCCUGUGAGAGCUUUAUGCCACUUUCUAUCUUAGAUGUAAUGGCUUCGGCAAAAAGAAACAAAUAAAAGUUAGUGUUCGCACUGCUUUAGCCCAAGUGUCACGGGGUUAAAUUUUUCGCCUCGCAAAUAAACUCGUGCGGCAGCCUAGUCCCGCUAGACUCAGCCUUGCCUUACCCUUUCACUCGUGUUUUCCUACGACUAUGUGUUUCGCUCACUCAAGGAGGUUCUCACAAUCGUCUCGUCGUAGACAAUGCACAAACACAAGCAAGCAUAAGCAAUCACACCGAACUUUUACAAGAAUCCCUCUCAACCUUUAUUUAUCUCAUCAACAAAGGAAAUACACAAAAAUGGUGUGUGCUAUGCACAAAUUCGCAUGCUACACAGCAGAGGCUUGGCAGCCUAUUUAUAGCCAAAUGUGAGCUUCCAUUCUCACCUAGCAUCCCCUAAUUUCGGGGCAUAGUGGAGCACUAUCUCACCUAACAUGGACUAGUGGAGCACUACCUUCCCCCAUGAUCCCCAUUUUCCAUGGACUAAUGGAGUAUUAUCCCAACCAUUAUCUUUGGUUGGUGAACCACUUUCUCCACCAAUAUUCGGUGGGUUGGUGAACCACUUUCUCCACCAAUAUUCAGCCCCUCCACCCAUAUUCUGCCAGCCCUCAUGGCAGUCCCAUUUGUCUUCCUUUCUAUGUCAGCUGCUGACUUAGAAAGUCCAUCAUCUAAGCUCCACCUCCAUGCCAAGUCGCCAGCUCAAAGACUUGCACAGACCCUUGCACGCUGCCUGCCGAAUUCAUUUCUGCCGUAGUCCAUCGUUGCCGAAUUCUAGGCAAUGUGCUCUCGUUGGCGCGCCCCGCGCCUAGACCUCUAACAAACCACCCCCACUAGAAGAGUCUGACGUCCUCGUCGGAAUAGACUUGAGGUAGUCUUGAACUUGAUCCUCAAAUUGCCACAAGUCAAUAUCUUUCUCCCACGAAACCUCCUCAUUUUCCCUCCAUUUUACCAAGAAUUCUGUCCGCCGAUUCUUUCUAUGUUGGCCAAGUCGACGAUGAUCCAUGAUUUUGACAAUCCCAUCAUCGAAUUGCUUGUGAAUGGUAGGAGGAGCUCGGUGUGACUUGCUUCUCUUUGGAUCUUCGUUGUCUUCAUAAAAAGGCCGUAAGUAACUUACGUGAAAGGUAGGAUGAAGUUUCAACCGUUCGGGCAGCUUCAACCUAUAGGCCACAGCGCCUACCUUUUCGAUGACCUCAAAAGGUCCAUCGUACCUUGGCACCAACCCUCGGUGCUUCGUUGUUCCCACGAUUUUCUUCCAAAUCUGCGGAGUUAACUUGAGCAACACCUUGUCACCCACACUGAAUUCCAGCCAUGUCCGCUUUUGGUUGGCGUAUUUGAGCAUUCUUUUCCUUGCCUUACGCAAGCUAUCUUGUGCUUGCUCAAAUAGCUCCUGCCGCUCCAUCGCAAACCUGUAUGCUGUUGGACUCUUCCCACCCGUUAUCUGCACUGCAAUCUCCGCAGGAGUUUGGGGUUGAGCUCCCAACACUAGCUCAAACGGACUUGCUUCCGUUGCCGAGGAUUUUUGAAGAUUGUAGCAAAACUGCGCACUAUCAAGCAACUCCAACCAGUUUCGUUGCAUCGCUGUCACGUAGUGUCUCAAAUAUUCCUCAAGCAAAACAUUUAUCCUUUCCGUCUGCCCAUCAGUUUGCGGAUGGUUGGCAGUUGAAAACUUCAGCCUUGUUCCCAUCAUGUUGAACAAUGCUGUCCAGAAUCGGCCUGUGAAUCGCACAUCGCGAUCACUCACAAUGUCUGAAGGCACUCCAAAGUACUUCACCACGUUUCGGUAGAAUAAUUCAGCAGCCACUUCGGCUGUACACACCGUCGGGGCAGCAACAAACACCGCAUACUUGGUGAAUCUGUCCACAACAACCAUGAUCAUGUUCAUGCCAUCCACCUUUGGAAAACCAACAAUAAAAUCCAUUGAAACUGACACCCAAGGCUUUUCUGGAAUCGGCAGCGGCUGUAACAAGCCUGCCUCUUGCUGCCGCAAAGUCUUGUCUUGUUGACACACUAGACAAGUCCUGACGUAGAGUUCUACAUCAUCUUCCAUCUUCGACCAAUAAUAAGUCUGCGACAAGAGAGCAACCAUCCUUUCCCGUCCCGGAUGUCCAGCCCACUGCGGAUCAUGAGUUUCCGUCAUUAAGUACUUUCGCAGCUCUCCCUUUGGCACGAAGAUUCGACCCCCCUUUGCAUAGAGUAAGUCCUGCUCCAACCAAUACCUCCGUAUUGUCCCUUCUCGUACAAGCUCAACCAUUUUCUUGUACGCUGCAUCCUCCGUAGCAGCUUGGCGAAGUCGAUCCAGCAUAUCUGACUCCACCUGAAAAAUAGCAAGAAUAGUAGCUAUUACCUCGCGUCUGCUGAGUGCAUCCGCAACUUGAUUGUGGCUCCCUAGUUUGUGCUCCCAUACGAAGUCAUAUUCGGCCAAGAAUUCCUGCCACCGAGCUUGUCGUUGCGACAAUUUCUUUUGCGUCUUGAAAAAUGUAUUGGCAACAUUGUCGGUCUUGACAAUAAAUUUUGGCCCCAGCAGAUAUACUCUCCAUAUGCCAAGGCAGUGCACUACUGCCGUCAUUUCCUUCUCAUGGGUCGAGUAAUUCCGCUCCGCAUCACUUAGCUUCCGACUCUCGAAAGCAAUCGGAUGUCCCUCUUGUACAAGCACUCCACCAAUAGCCCUAUCCGAAGCAUCAGUAUGCACUUCGAAUGGCUUCUCAAAAUCAGGCAGCCCCAAGACUGGAGCUGACGCUACUGCUGUCUUCAGCUUCUCAAAAGCUUGUUGGCAGUCAACUGUCCAUUCCCAACUCCGAUCUUUCUUGAGAAGAUCUAAGAGAGGAGUUGUCUUCUUGCUAUACCCCUCGAUGAACCGUCUGUAGUAGUUUGCAAGCCCCAAAAAGGAUCUCAAUUCCGGGACUGAUUUUGGUGAUGUCUGUCAUAACCCAAUUUUUGAUCAUUUUAUUAUUAUUAUUAUUAUUAUUAUUUUAUUUAUUGAAAAGGAUAAAAAAAAUUGAUAAAAAAAAUAAUAAUAAUGAUGAUGAGAAAACAAGUAAAAUGAAGAAUGAAUUAAUUUUUGGGUUAAGGGCAAUAUGAAUGGAAGUUUUGGGGUUUAAUUAAACUUUUGAAUUAAUCUAAUUAAGUUUGGAAUUAAUUUGUUUAAUUAAGAGUUUAAUUGGAGAAUUGAUAAAAUUUUGAGACUUAAUUAAGCUUGAAAUUAAUUUAAUUCAUCCAAUCAAGGAUUUAAUUGGAGAAUUAAUAAGUUUUGAGACUUAAUUAAGCUUGGAAUUAAUUUAAUUAAUCCAAUUAAGGGUUUAAUUGGAUAAUUGAUAAGUUUUAAGACUUAAUUGGACUUGGAUUUAAUUAAAUUAAUGAAAUCAGGGACUUAAUUGAAGAAAUAUCAAAGUUUGGGGUUAAUUGGGGUUGAAAUUGCAACAGAUUAGAGUCCAAGGACUAUCUUGAAACAGGCGCGGGAAUAUAGGGGCAAUUACAGUUUAAACCAGGGGCUUAAUUACAAAAGUUUCGAAACUUCACGGGUCAAAAUGAAAUAGCCGCCUCAUAUCCCAAAACGGCGUCGUUUUAAAGAACGUUGUUCAUCUUCUUCUUCUUCAAACAGAGACCGUUUCCAGCAGUAAUGAUCAGCGACCUCAGUUAUGGACGUUUUAAUGCUUUCGUCCCUCUGCAUGCCAUCCGUUACCACUGAUCGGACUCUAUAAAAAGAGGAACAAUGAAGAAAUGGCGGCGGAGAGAUACCCAAGGGUUGAAUCACAGAACCGAAAGAGAGAGAGAAGCUAAAACCCAGACUCGAAAUAGAACCAGGGGGAUCAUAGAAACGAAAAAAACACAAACGAAGUAGACACCAAGGGGGACUGAAACAAGAAAAGACAGUGGGCAGAGCAGGAACCGAAACACCAAAACUGGGGAAAGAAUCGGCAGAUCACAGAGCCGAACACAGACUGAAACCAAACCCAAAUUCGAAAGGAUAAGCCAGCACCGUCCUUUUUUCUUCAUCACAAGGACUGAGAAAGUAAGGAAAAAAAAAAGAAUAGCAGACGAACAGAAGAGGAAGUAGAGGAGAGAGUGCCCGUUCGACCAUCAACGCCAUGUCUUCAUCGCCAUCGGCUUUGUCUCCAACAGUUACGGGUCAGUUGCAUCAUUUCCCCUGCUUACAAUUUUAAUUCCCCCAACACUGUGCAUUUGAAAUUUAAUUAACACUGACUGUAGCCAGCGUGCGUGAACAAUUCACGCACGCUGGCGCCUGGUCACUGGCUUGGGCCAGUGACCAGGCUGGGUUGGGCUGGGUCUAGCCCAGCCCAUGUGGGCUGAGCUGGGCCCAGCCCGAAAAAAAAUAAAAAAAUAAAAAAAAUAAAAAGCAGAAAAAUAAAAAAUAAAAAAAAUAAAAAUAAAAAUAAAAAAUGUGUAUGCAUGAAUAAAAAUAAUGUAAAUUUAUUGGUUUAUUCACUGACGCCAGAGUCAGGAAUAAAAAUGUGCAUGCGUAAAAAUAAACUUAUUUUUAUUUAUUUAUUCACUGGCAUUAGAGUAGGAAAUAAAAAAUAUAUUGAUCUAAUUUUUGUCGUAGCUACGAAUUUUUACCAACGCCAGAGUUGGAAUUAUUCGAGCUCGAAUAUUCACUGGCGUCAGAGUCAGAAAUAUUAUAAACAAAUCAUCACAGCAUAAAUUAAUAAAUAUUUAGCAAUUUAAGACAAAACCAACAAUGCAGUCUGCCUUAGGCAGAACGUUUAAGGAGUGAUAAUAUCUUCCCUUUUACAUAACCAAUCCCGAAUCAUAGAAUCUCUAUUGACCAGUUAGGGUUCCUAGUGACCAUAAUACUAGGUGGCGACUCCUCAAACAAGACAUUUUUCCCUAAAAGAAUCGGAUGUCAGAAAUCUGUUCUUUUUCCAUAAUUCAAGUGAAUCAUUAUUUUUUGUGGGCCGCCGUGAUGUCGGGUGCGACAAUGUCCAUUCGACGAUGGCUUGGAUCUUUCGUGGAUCCAUCUUCACCUGUCCUUCUCCAAUUAUUUUUCCCUCUUUACAUACAGUUCAUGUUCUCUCAAUCUACUUAAGACUUUAGAAAGAUGAGUUACAUGUUCUUCGAUUCCUCUACUAUAGAUUACAAUGUCAUCUAAGUAGACUGCAACAAAAUUAUCUAAGAAAUCAUAUAACACAUCAUUCAUUAAAUUACAAAACGUUGCUGGAGCAUUUGUUAAGCCAAAUGGCAUAACUAGAAACUCGUAUGAACCAUACCUCGUCACACAAGUCAUCUUAUGCUCAUCUCCGUCAGCAACUCUCACUUGCCAAUACCCCGAUCGCAAGUCCAGCUUCGUAAAGACAGAAGCGCCACAUAAUCUGUCCAUCAAAUCCUGAAUCAAAGGAACAUGAUAUUUGUUUUUGAUGGUUACCUUGUUGAGUGCCCGGUAGUCCACACACAUGCGAAGGCUCCCAUCCGCCUUCUUCUGAAACAACACCGGAGCACCAUACGGAGCCUUGGAAGGUCGAACGAAUCCCGACUCAAUCAAUUCUUCCAAUUGCUUCCUCAAUUCUGCCAAUUCUCUUGGCGACAUUCGGUAAGGAGCUUGAGAUGGUGGCUUUGCCCCCGGCACCAGCUCAAUUCGAUGAUCAACAGCCCUCUUAGGCGGGAGUUUCUUUGGUAGCUGAGGUGGCAUAACAUCUUCGAAUUGAUGCAGCACGCUAGCAAUCUCGUUCGGCACCUCCCCACAAUAAUCAGUUCUCUCCUCCACUAUUGUUGCUAGAAACACAUCCCCUCCUUUCCGCAAUGCUUUAUCGAUUGCAAUGGCCGAUAUUAAGCUCUUCUUUCCUUUCGCAACAUUCGCAACUGCGACGUUGCAGCAGGGAACAAAACAUGGGCAUCCCUCACUCGCAAUCAUAAUCCCAUUGAGAUACGGCAUUAAAACAAUCUUGGCUUUCCGUAGAAAAUCAAGGCAAAGGAUAAUAUCAUAAUCAUCAAGAGUUAUGACAAGCACAUCAUGCUUACCUCUCCACCGAUCCAGCACUAUCAGCACAUCAUAAGACAUCCCAGCAAUUUUCUGCGCCUUUGAGUUCACUGCCUUCAUGGAUGUCUGGCUAUCACUCAGCCGCAAGCCGAGUUCCUUCACCAGCCGAUCUGCCACAAAUGUGUGGGUUGCGCCUGAAUCCAGCAUAGCAUUUAUAUUAUUGCCGUUUAUCUCAAUCUUUACAUACAUGAGGCUGUCCGUUGCCCCUGGCUUCCCUUUUCGUAAGGUCUCAAUCCUUGCCAAGUCUUUCUCAACAUGGCAGUUUUCGGCAGCCGCAUCCUCUGAUUCUGCUACCAAGCAAUUUAACACACACAUGGGAUUGACGUGCGUAAGCAUCCCCUCUUCAUCAUCGCUAUUCCCAGCCCGAAUAGCAUUCAGCUUCUCCCUCUUUGGGCAUUCCCUCGCAAAGUGAGGACCAUCACAAAUGAAGCAUGUAAGGUUCGGUUUAGUACCAUUACCUGGUGUGCUCGUAAAUUUUGACUUGCCUUUCUCCGCGGCAGUAGCCUUUCCUGCACCCCCACCGAACUUCUUCUUUGGCCUUUCCUCCUUGCUCUUUCCCUUUGACUUGAAGGAGGCUGAUUUAUAGCUCUCUCUCGUAGGAGCUUUAUAAUCUACCAAAUUGUCCGCGGCAGCAAUAGCAGAAGACAGAUCCUUCACAUUCUGUCGUCGUAGCUCUGCUUGCGCCCAAGGUUGCAAUCCGGACAUAAAAUUGAACAACCUGUCCUCCUCGGACAUGUUCUCGAUGUCGAGAAUUAAAGAACUGAAAGACUUAACAUACUCACGAACUGACCUGUCCUGUUUGAGUCUUUUCAAUUCGUCUCAUGCAAUCCACGAAGUGUUGUUUGGGAGGAACUGCUCCUUUAGCUCCUUCUUGAGACGAUCCCAUGUCUCAAUCUUUGGACGUCCCGCACUUAGAUCAUCUUUGGUUCUCGUCCGCCACCAAAGCUUUGCGUCACCCGUGAGAUACAUCACGGUGAGAUCAACUUGUUCCGCUGCGCCAAUCCUCGCAACACUGAAGUAUUGCUCCAUGUCCCAUAAGAAAUUUUCCAGCUCUUUGGAACUUCUUGCCCCACCAAAGCACUUUGGUUCGGGCAACUUAGGCUUAGAAGAACUUACCCCAAGAGGAGUGUUUGUGACUGCCCUCUUCAGAACAGCAAUCAUCUCUUCGGCAGCAGCCAAUCGUUCACUCGAUUCUGCCGCAAGCGAGAUGUACAAGCUCUCAGCGCUUUCAGCGCUAUCCAUCGCUUCCUUCAAGCGAUCCAAGACAGUGCGUUCUUCCUCUUCGUCAUCUGGCCCUAUCAAAGUCUCCAGACGCGUCAACCGUUCCCGAAUGGCUUCCAUGGCUUCGGGCUGCACGUUGUUGAGUCAACCGUGCUCUGAUACCAAUUGUCACGGGGUUAAAUUUUUCGCCUCGCAAAUAAACCCGUGCGGCAGCCUAGUCCCGCUAGACUCAGCCUUGCUUUACCCUUUCACUUGUGUUUUCCUACGACUAUGUGUUUCGCUCACUCAAGGAGGUUCUCACAAUCGUCUCGUCGUAGACAAUGCACAAACACAAGCAAGCAUAAGCAAUCACACCGAACUUUUACAAGAAUCCCUCUCAACCUUUAUUUAUCUCAUCAACAAAGGAAAUACACAAAAAUAGUGUGUUCUAUGCACAAAUUCGCAUGCUACACAGCAGAGGCUUGGCAGCCUAUUUAUAGCCAAAUGUGAGCUUCCAUUCUCACCUAGCAUCCCCUAAUUUCGGGGCAUAGUGGAGCACUAUCUCACCUAACAUGGACUAGUGGAGCACUACCUUCCCCCCAUGAUCCCCAUUUUCCAUGGACUAAUGGAGUAUUAUCCCCACCAUUAUCUUUGGUUGGUGAACCACUUUCUCCACCAAUAUUCGGUGGGUUGGUGAACCACUUUCUCCACCAAUAUUCGGCCCCUCCACCCAUGUUCUGCCUGCCCUCAUGGCAGUCCCAUUUGUCUGCCUUGCUAUGUCAACUGCUGACUUAGAAAGUCCAUCAUCUAAGCCCCACGUCCAUGCCAAGUCGCCAGCUCAAAGACUUGCACAGACCCUUGCACGCUGCCUGCCGAAUUCGUUUCUGCCGCAGUCCAUCGCUGCCGAAUUCUAGGCAAUGUGCUCUCAUUGGCGCGCCCCGCGCCUAGACCUCUAACACCAAGAGUCUUUCAUGGUUGCCUUGAAUUGAUUGACAGGAAGAAGUCUGAAUGUUUUUAGAAAGAAGCAGCCUUCAAGCUUUUCAAAACCAAUCUCUGUAUCUAUUAACAAAAACUCUAAAUCACGAGUACUAGACACAAUUAAUUAUGUUUUUUGUAAUUAUUAGAUAAUUGAAAUCAUCACUAACUCCUUUGUUCAUUUUCAUCUUUUUUUAUUACCCUUAGCAUGAUACACAGAAAAGAAGAAGGGUUCAAGAGAGAACAAUAAUGGAGGGGAAUCAAAAUCUUUGUUUGAUUUUAUGUUGUGUUUUUGGUACAUUGAUCAACAAUAGCAUGGAAGAGCUUGAUAGCAAUAACCUUUUCGACCUCAAUAAUUAAUGUUAACGCGUGGAUCCAGUUGUUGUGGAAACUUUGCAAAGGAUCUGCAGGAAGAAAAAUGAAAUUUGCUUGGUUGUUUGGUUUGUCUGUCCAGUACCUGAGAAAAAACAAAAGGAAAGCACUAUUCUUAUAAAUAAUGCAGGGGUAUACUAGAUUUUUCUCAUGAGAUCACAAUAAUUUAAUGAAAAGUAAACAAAAUAAAUUAUAAAAUUUAAUUUUUAAUUAAAUCUAUAUUAAAAGAUAAAAUUAAAAAAAAAAACUAAUUAAAAAAAAAUCUAAAUCAACUGAAUUAACUUGUUAAACCUAAGAUCCGUAUCAUGAGAAUGUGAUAACUAAAUAUAAAAAAAAUUUAAUAUUAAUGAACUAAAUUGAACAAACAAAAUUAAUUAUAAAGAAAAAAGCAAAAAUAAAAACACUAUAACCGAAGAAGAUCAGUUUUAGUUAUCAAUCGAAUUUUAGCAAAAUCUAGGAUCCAAGAAUUGGCCUCUGUAACAUAGUAUGUAUUCCGAGCCAAUCUGGGCUAGGACUUGAAACAAAUGUUGUAUACUGUUUGCACUGUCACUUUGCUUACCCUCUUAGGUUUUUAUUGAGAUUAGGAUUCUAUUGUAGCUCUUUUUUCUCCUUUUAUUAUAAUAAAAUAAUAUCUAUGGAUUAAUUUUGGUAUAAUUUAAGAAAGUAAGUCCUUUAAUCAAAUUUUAGAUUGACCAUCCACAAUGUGUUAAAAGUAAAUGUUAAUUUAUAAAAUAAUAUCCUUACUGCGCUAUAAAGCUGAUAUUGCUGUUGAUAGCUUUUGCUGGGUUGAUCUCUUUGGUUUAUCUCUAUCAUUCUGGGCAAAAGAUGAUUUUCACGCAGUUAUAGCUCGUUAUGGCUGUUUGAUUGGAAUUGAUAAUGCUAAAAGCACUUUUACAAAUUUGACGGCAGCAAGGGAAGGGUGUUAUUCUGCAGAACUCGGAAGGAGAUUAGUAGAUAUUGACCAUGUUGUUUCAUUGUCAGGGAAAGCACUUAUUUCUUUAAUGUAUGUUUCCGGAGAUUAUUGCGGUGGGAUAUGUUUUGGCAGCUAAUGCAAUUCACAAUGACCUUGGUCCUUGAGAUCUUUACCUAUUUUGGUUUUGGUCACCAAACUUCAUUUGUUUUCAAUUACAUCCUUGCAAGUUCUACUAACACGGUUCUAUUUGUUGUUAUCCACUUCGAUUUUCAUGUUCUUGCAUUUAUCAUAUAUCUUUAAAUAUUCCUACAUUGAAUUAGAAAUCAAUUUUUUUUAACCCUCCUAACCCAGUUGCUAUUAUGGCUAGUUCUCCACCUGCAUGUUCUUCCUUCUGAAGCGUGGCAUCGGUCUUUAGAUACACUUACUUAGUCCCUGUUAUUUAUAAAGCUUCUAAUUUAGUUCAAGUCAAUAAAAGCUUAGCAGUUUGAUACAGAAGCUCAUGGCCAAGUAAGAGAUGUUUGUUUUGGAUGUAAUAAAUAUUCAUAUUGGAACAUAAUAUUCAUCUCUCAAAUCCCUAAUCCAGUAGAUCAUAUAAAUAAUCGUUACCUUUUAUGAAUAUGAUUAUUGCAUUGCUAAUAAUUUGCAAGAAAGAUGAUGAACAUUUUUUAGUGAAUUAAGUUCAAUUAUAGAAAAUCCUGUACAAAUUAUACAAAAUUCUGCUUUAAGUUCUUGGAACCUCGCUUUGGGAUUAAUUAGUGAGAAUAAGAAAAUUCUCUGUGAAUUAUACAAAAUUUAUUAGUAGUCAUCGAUAUAAUAUUUAUUAUAGGUUAUCAAUAUUAAAUAAUGACUUAUUUUCUAAUAUAAACUAUUGAACGGGAUUUGUAUAUAAAAAUAAUUAAAUUCAGAUUUUUCAAUUAUCUUUAAACAUAUUACAGUUUUAAUCGGUGAACGGUCUAUCAUAUAAAUUAUAAAAAAAAUAUUUAUUAUAUAUAUAUAUAGUAAUAACAAAUUAAAUGAUAGUAACGUUAUUGUAAAGAAUAUGUUAUACUCAUUGUCAAAUUGGAUGAGUUACGUGGAGAAGGAUGCUCAUUGUCAAACUGCUAUUCCUAUCACAUUAUUAUAAAGAAUAAAAGCAACGGAAGAAUAUUGUUUGAAUAUAAACGAAUAGCAGCGACUGUGGUCCACUUGGGAAUUGAGACUAUGCAUAUAUUCAGUGCAUCGUAUUCGGUUCCUUCCCGGUGAGAUGCCAAAUUGGUUGAGCAGUGGAGAAUAAAAGCAACGGUUGGGAUUCAUUUGAUCUCGUACACCUUAAAGAAUGUAGGGUCCAUGCAAUUAAAGAAUGUACGUUGUCGAGGUACUAUUUCUUUUAAUAUUUCUUGCACAAGAAACACACAAUUAGCACUCCAAAUUAAUAUUUUUUAUAUAUAUAUAUAUAAUUAUACUCCGUCAGCAACUACCUCGAAAUUACCUCAAUACCAAUACACGCUUGAGAAAUUUCCUUGCUUUUUUUUCCUGUAUGUGUUACAUUUUUAUCUUUUAUAAUUAUAAUUAUUGCAUUGCUAAUAAUUUACAAGAAAUAAUAUUCUUUAUCUGAAAAGGGCUUGAGAAAACCUAAGCAUUCCAAGUAUGAAGUGUUUUAUUGUUUUAUUGCUAUAAAGUUUUUCACACUUACAAUAUAGAAAGAGAAAAAUUAAAAAAGAAAAAGAAAAAAAAGAAAGAGCAAAAGGAAACACUAAUGCAGUAUGAGAGUGAGAAUGAGAGAGAGGUAAUUUCGACUAUACAUAGAACUCGACUGGACAGAAGACUUAAAGAUAAAAUAGCUUUGAUUUACAACCAUGGCUUCAAGGGCCUGGAAUAAAACCAGGUACAAGUUUGUUUCUAUCUAAGAAAGCAAGAAGCUCCCACGGUGCACGCUCUCAACAAACAAGUAGGAAUUGAAUUCAAAGGAAUAAAUCAUUAAAUGCGGAGUUGGUGUUCUCCUGUUUGUGGUUCUGAUAAAUGUAAGAACGGACAGAGAGAUGAAAUAGGAAAGAUCCAUGUAUCUAUUAGUUGGCAGCAGUUAUCAUUCGGCCCUUGCCGCCCACGAAAUCCCUUUGUCCUGCUGUUAAUUUCUUAAUGACGCGUAUCAGGUGUUUGAUAAAAUUCCUCUGCUGGAAAAAAAAAAAAACCAUGUUUAGAAUGCUUUAGUCCUUUUCGAGUGGAAAGUGGUGUGAAAGUGGGAAGUACUGUGAGAGCUUUAUGCCACUUUCUAUCUUAGAUGUAAUUGCUUUGGCAAAAAGAAACAAAUAAAAGUUAGUGUUCGCACUGCUUUAGCCCAAGAGUCUUUCGUGAUCGGCUCUGUUUAUUUGCAGGAAAGUAAAUUUUUUUUGAAAAGUAAAUUUUAAAAAAAAUAAAUUUCAAAAAUGUAUUUUUCAAUGAAAAAAAAAAAAGAACAUAAAAAAAAAUAAAAUAUGUUGGUAAUAAAUAUAAAAGAUGGAUGAAAAUAUUAAAAAAUAAGAAAGAGAUAUAGAAUCUCUUUGUAAAUUUUCUACAAACUUAAUUACAAUUAUAUUAUAAUUUCUUUCCUAAAAUUAUUCAAAAUAUAGUAUUAGAAUUAUAUAAUACUCGGUUUUAAUAUAUAAUUAAAGAGUCUUUCCUAAAUCAAAUAAUAAAAAUAUCGUAUAACUCUUUUGGAUGAAUUGUUAAGUAGGGACUGUUUGGGGUCCUGACAAGGCGGAUUUUAUUUGAAUAUAUUAUUUGAUUAGUGUUGACUCUACUAUUGCUGCAUUGACGGGAAAUUUCAGUAUUCCAUAUCCUUGCUUUACUCUGCAGCUGACUUCUCUGUCCCAUUGCUACCAUUUCAUAGCCAACUCUUUGUUAUAUUUAACUUACUCUUCUUUGCUUCUUGUUCGUAACGAUAACUUGAAAGCCUUACGUUCAGAUAGAUAAUCAUUGACCAGUUCAUCCUAUAUCAUUCUAUUUAAUUUAGAAAUGCAGAAAGAAAAACGCAAGCAAUCCAAAGAUGAAGAAAUCGAUUCAUCCUCGCGAAAGAGAAGAAAAGCUGACCUCAGUAAGCCUAUUUAGAGAUUACAAUUAACCUCAUUUCAAUAUCAUAGCUUUGGAAUUUCAUAGCUAAGUCUUUGUUAUAUUGCUCCAUUGGUAAUUGACUGUGCCUUGAUUUCUGCAGCUGCCAUGAUAGAGCCGGAGUCUUCUCGAUCUAGACCAGAAGGGGCCUAUGAUGUCUUCUUGAGUUUUAGAGGAGAAGACACUCGCAAGUCAUUUACAGAUCAUCUAUACACUGCCUUGGUCCAAGCAGGAAUCCACACUUUUCGAGAUGAUGAUGAACUUCCGAGAGGAGAAGAAAUCUCCCAUCAUCUCCUCAGGACGAUUCAAGAAUCAAAGAUAUCCAUAGUUGUCUUCUCAAAAGGAUAUGCUUCUUCUAGAUGGUGUCUCAAUGAACUUGUAGAGAUUCUUAAGUGCAAAAAUAGGAAAACCGGUCAGAUUGUUCUUCCUAUAUUCUAUGACAUUGAUCCUUCAUAUGUGAGAAAACAGAAUGGCAGUUUUGCAGAAGCAUUUGUUAAACAUGAAGAGCGUUUUGAAGAGAAGUUGGUGAAGGAGUGGAGAAAAGCUCUUGAGGAGGCUGGAAAUCUAUCUGGAUGGAAUCUCAAUGAUAUGGCAAAUGGGUAUGCCUUUUCUCUCUAAAUUUCACUUGCAGACGUUUAUGGAGUAAUUUUACAUUACAUUUUUCAAUGUGAAGUAACAAAAUAUUUCUUUUUAGCAUACUUAAUUGACUUGCUAUCGAUGACUUGCUUUUUUUCUGUGAGCAGGCAUGAAGCAAAAUUUAUCAAAGGGAUUAUCAAGGAUGUGUUGAAUAAAUUAGAUCCCAAGUACUUAUAUGUUCCUGAACACCUAGUAGGUAUGGAUCAGCUUGCUCACGAUAUUUUGUACUUUCUAAGUACUGCAACAGAUGAUGUACGCAUUGUGGGCAUACAUGGGAUGCCAGGAAUAGGAAAGACAACUAUAGCAAAAGUUGUAUUUAAUCAACUCUGCAAUGGAUUCGAGGGAAGCUGUUUUCUUUCGAAUAUCAAUGAAACAUCAAAACAAUUUAAUGGUCUGGCUCUUUUACAAAAGCAACUUCUUCAUGAUAUUUUAAAACAAGAUGCUGCGAACAUCAAUUGUGAUGAUAGAGGAAAGGUUCUGAUCAAAGAGCGACUUUGUUGUAAAAGAGUUCUUGUUGUUGCUGAUGAUGUUGCUCAUCAAGACCAGCUAAUAGCUUUGAUGGGAGAUCGAAGUUGGUUUGGUCCCGGAAGUAGAGUAAUUAUUACAACAAGAGAUUCAAAUCUUCUUCGUGAAGCAGAUCAAACAUAUCAGAUCGAAGAAUUGAAACCAGAUGAGUCCCUUAAGCUUUUCAGCAGGCAUGCCUUUAAGGACUCCAAGCCAGGAAAAUAUUAUAUUGAGCUUUCAAAGAAAGUCGUUGGUUACUGUGGAGGACUUCCUUUAGCUCUUGAGGUUAUAGGAGCUCUUCUGUACAGGAAAAACAGAGGUAGAUGGGAAAGUGAAAUUGACAACUUGAGCAGAAUUCCAAACAACGAUAUUCAAGGAAAGCUUCUAAUAAGUUAUCACGCACUUGAUGAUGAACUACAAAGGGCAUUCCUUGAUAUUGCAUGCUUCUUUAUUGGUUUAGAGAGAGAAUACGUCGCAAAAGUGCUAGGAGCCCGUUGCCGUUACAAUCCAGAAGUUGUUUUGGAAACUCUCUGUGAAAGGUCUCUGAUUCAAUUUCAUAUGUGUAUAAUUAAAGAUGAAAGGCAGUUAUUUGAAAGGAUGGUAACCAUGCAUGAUCUAUUACGAGACAUGGGAAGGGAGGUCGUUCGUGAAUCGUCUCCAAAAGAACCUGGAAAGAGGACCAGAAUUUGGAAUCAAGAGGAUGCAUGGAAUGUACUUGAGCAGCAGAAGGUAAGAGCUCAAUGCAUACAUGAAAGCAUAGUCAUGCGUAUUUUCUAGUCAAACUUAUUACAAAUAAUUGAAUGAAAGUUGUAUUUUUUUUUUUUUUAGGGUACGGAUGUUGUAGAGGGUCUUGCACUGGAUGUCAGAGCAUCAGAAGCUAAAUCACUUAGCACAGGAUCAUUUGCAGAAAUGAAAUGCUUAAAUUUACUCCAAAUCAAUGGAGUACAUCUCACCGGAUCCUUCAAACUGCUUUCUAAAGAGUUGAUGUGGAUUUGUUGGCAUGAAUGUCCUUUGAAAUAUUUUUCAUCUGAUUUUACCUUGGACAAUCUAGUUGUUCUUGAUAUGCAAUACAGUAACCUCAAAGAACUAUGGAAGGGAAAAAAGGUACGAAACAUGCUACAAUCACUAAAAUUUUUCCAGUAUGUAAUUUAUAUUUACAUGUUAUGACUUUCUAUUAUUAAUUUUCAUUAUUUUCCUCUCUAUUAUAACAGAUUCUUGACAAGCUAAAAAUCCUUAAUCUCAGUCAUUCUCAGCAC
RNAcentral lists this long non-coding RNA (54249 nucleotides) under Populus tremula. Its description in RNAcentral is "long non-coding RNA (PTRE_LNC001719)". The record is from RNAcentral. Lineage: Eukaryota; Viridiplantae; Streptophyta; Magnoliopsida; Malpighiales; Salicaceae.